AUAUGCUCAGUUUAUUGCAUGUGAUUCAUAUGUUGUAUAUACUUAUCCGAGGAGCCUUUGCGCUUCGCCACUGCCUUCAGUGAAGAGUUCAUCAUCAACGUUGAGGGCGAAAAUCUUUCUCCCCAAGGAGCCCCUUAAGGCUACUACACAACAAGUUCAUCUGUCUUGUCUCCUGAUUUGGGAUUCGUCCAUGGCUUCAAAGUAUAUCCGUUACAUGUUAGUAUUAUAUUUCCUUAGAUAUCUAGGUUGCUGAAUAAUUUUUCUAGAUAGCUAGGACGAUGAAUUAACAUGAGAUGACUAUGUUGUUUAUACAUAUAGACUGUUGUCAGUAUAAAUUAGGUUUGCUGAUGUAGCCUAAUUCACAUGCUUCUGCAAACAUGGUGAAUGAUCAGAUUUCAAUGUAUAUGGUUAUGACUUAUCUCUUCUCGUCAAAUAAUGUGAGAUAUUGAGGUGAAUAAUAAAUUAUGUGUUUCUUAUCUCCAAGUAAUCGUUACGUACUAACAUUUUAAUAACGAGAGCAUAGAAACGAUAAAUAUUGUUUCUGUAUCCCAAUAUAUCUUAUUAUUAUAUGUUGACUCCGUAGCAAAGCACGGGCAUAUACCUAGUUAUGAUUGAGGAGAAAAAGAGUUUUGUCCACAGAGCCCAUUUUAAAACCCUUAGAAAGCAGAAAAGAUUUCAAACGCUCAUACCGGGCUCUAGGGGCUUGUUUCAAACCAUACAAAGCUUUUUGGAGUUUAAAAACGUGGUUUGGAAACUUGGAACUGUCAACACCAGUGGGUUGCCUAACAUAUAUCUCUUCCUCUAUAUACCCAUUCAAAAAGGCACUUUUGACAUCCAUUUGAAAAAACUUAAAACCCUUUGAAGCAGCAAAGGCUAAAAGGAUCCUAAUGGCCUCUAAACGGGCAAUAGGGACAAAGGUCUCCUCAUAAUCAAUUCCCUCUUUUUGGCAAUACCCUUGGGCAACCAACCUCGCCUUGUUUCUCACUACCAAACCAUCCUCACUCUGUUUGUUUUUUAAAACCCAUUUUGUACCGAUGGGAUGGCAGUUAGAAGAAGGUGGCACCAAAACCCAAACCUGAUUUCUUUCGAAAUUUUCAAGCUCCUCAUGCAUAGCAUUAACCCUGUUAGGAUCAGAUAAAGCAUGUCCAACAUCUCGAGGAUCAAAAGUAGCAACAAAAGUCGAGUGAGAAAAAUGAGAAAUGCGUUGUGACCUAGAGCGAGUGACUCGCUCGUGAAGCUCCCCGAUCAUCUGCUAAGGUGGGUGACGACGCUGGAUAUGCUAUGGAGCCUCCCUUGAGGAAGUGGCCUCCCCCUCAACAGCAGCUUCAACUCCUCCAGUCUCAGCAAGAGCUGGCUCAAGCGAACCCCAAGUGGUGGAAGGAGUGGGGUCGGGUCCGUCAGCCGUAGUAGUUGGCUCGACUGGGGCGGCCGGUGGAGUUGGCUCGAGAGCAACCCAAUAGGCGUCGUCGUGCUCCUCCUCCACAAAGAUGGUCUGUCCCAUCUGAUCUAGACCUGCAGGCUCAAAGACAGGGGAUGGACAAGGUGCAGUCUCAUCGAAUGUAACCUCACAAGUCUCCAUAAUGCAGUUAGUCUCUAGGUUAAGAACACGAUAAGCAUGAUAAUGCAAUGCAUAACCCAGAAAAACCCCAUCAGAAGACCAGGACUCAAACUUGUCCAGAUUAUUCUGUUUCAGCACAAAGCAUCUGCAACCAAAUACCGUGAAAUGGCUGACCUUGGGUGGUCGUCCAAAUUACAGCUCAUAAGAAGUUUUGUUCAGAAAAGCCCGAAGAAAGAUAUGAUUGGACACAUGGCAAGCAGUGUUGAUCGCUUUGGCCCAAAAACGCAUAGGAGUCCUAUGCUCAUCAAGCAUCGUCCUGGCCAACUCAACAAGGGUCCGAUUUUUGCGUUCAAUAAUACCAUUCUGCUGGGGCACAUAUGGAGAGGAAAACUGAUGCUUAAGUCCCAAAGAAGCACAAAAGGUUGCAAUUUUAGUAUUUUUGAAUUUUGUGCCAUUGUCACUAUGUAUAGCUCUCAUGGCAUUUUUAGGAAACUCAUUUUGCAACCGAAGAAUCAAAUCUCAAGCAUGAGUAAAAGCCUCAUCCUUCACCAUCAAAAAGAACACCCAAGAGUAGCAAGCGAAGUCGUCGACAACCACAAGCACAUACCACUUCCCUCCAAAAGAGCAAACCCUGGCUAGACCAACAAUGUCCAUAUGAAGCAAUUCGCCAGGAUGCAAGGUCAUCACCUUGGUGACCGGGGAAUGGGAAGCGGCAAUCAUUUUGCCAUGACGACAAGGGUGACAUACAAGAUAUUUCUCAAAUUUUAAUUUGGGCAAUCCUUGGAUGAGGUCAAGUGAGCUCAAACGACACAAAAGAUCAAAGCUCAAGUGACCUAGCCUCUUAUGCCACUUCCAAAGAGAAGAGGAAGAUCCUGCCAGCAAACAUCGAGAAGGGCCAGAAGAAUGUGAAAAAUCAGCACUAAACACUCGACCAAAAGGGGAAAUCUAGCAAAUAAGAUCCCCACGGGCAUCCAAAACUCAAGACAAGCCCUUUUUAAAGCGCACUUCAUAGUCAUCCUCAAGAAGUUGCGAAACUAAAAGCAGAUUGAAAUGCAGAUUCGAAACCAAAGCAACAUCCUUGAGAAUAAAGCUCUCGUUCACCCAAAUAGUGCCACGAGAAACAACCUUACCUCUUUACUUAUCCCCGAAUGGGAUGUAUUCCUUACCAAUCACGGGGUUGAGGCUGGAGAACCAUUUUGAGCUUCCAUUCAUGUGGCGUGAACAGCCAGGAUCCAUGAGGCACGUGUUCUCCAGGCCUCCAUCCUGCAUCAAUAGUAAGACACGGGGUGAGCAAAUGGCACAACAUUGGGGUAAGUAAACUAUGAAGAGUACUAGUGUUGCGGCAUUUGCCCCUAAAAAGUGUUAGGGAAAACAAUAAACAUCCGCGGUUCCAAAGGGAAGCGAUCACCACAAGAACGAAAUUAUGGUCCCCUGGGGAAGUAUGAACCAAAACCUCUAUCACAUGGUCCUUGGCCAUAUGGCACACGACUAGCAUCCCGUCGGGCACGACCACCACGUGGUCUCACUGCCUGAGGCCUAGCGGCAAGAGGCAAAACACCUCUAGGCCUUGCAGGAUGUCUCUGAACAGGCUGAGCAUGAACACCAUGAGAGGGGUGGUUCAUGUCCUUCCUGCUCGACUGAGAAACCCGCCGCUCAUCUCUCUUCCUCCUAAAGCAAAAACAAGCUAGAUGUCCAUCCCUCUCACAAUACUCACAAUGGUACCUCACCUCUCUCUUGGGUGAAUUUUGUUUGUGGGAGGGGGCUUUCUUUUUGGAUGGCUGAGGGGCUCUAGGAAGGGGAUCUCCAGAGAUGUCGGGAAAGGUAUCAAGUGUGUUCCUAAGAUGGUUAGGUUUUGUAAGCCACACUUGUUUCUGAGGAGGAGCUCUCAUAGGUUCAUCAAUCACACCAUCUCUCAUAGGGGUGAUAGAUUUAGCAAGGGUGGUUUUGAUAAGCUUGGGAGUGGGUGAAGGUUUCUCUGAAGGUGUCAAACCACUACACUCACCAACCUCCCCAAAGCAAGUGACAUUUCCAUCCUUAGCAGCAAAGCCUAACCUCGGUCUGCCAGUUCCCCUCUUGAACUGACUGACCAUAAUGCCCAACUGGGGCUCACUGCACGACACCCAACUCAAGACAGAUCGAAGGUAUGUGUUUCCUUCCUCGAUUCUUUUCUUGUCGUGUCUGCAGCACUCAAGGGAAGACUACAAACCCUCACAAAGUGCACACUGCGCAGGUGCAAGGGCACUCACUGAGCUAGCCUUCUCAAGCAAAGCUAUCCUAGCGUCUCUCUCUGCUAGCUCAGACUGCAAGCUAGGAUAAACGGUACACGUACCCAACAGGAUAGACCUAGAUCUCAACCCGUCGCGCUCAUCUAGCAAGGUGGAGUACUUGGUCUGCAAAGUGGUGAUGUUUGACAUGUGUAGAGCGCACUCAUCACAUUCAGUCUCGUCGGAGACCACAACUGAAGCUCUAGCAGACUCAAAUUCCCUAAGCGUGCUCUCGUACUUGGAUCUAAACUCUCUCCUCUCACGAGCAGCCUACCUAAGCAACUUAUCCUGACUAGCCAAAGUAGGGUUCAGCUCUUCUAUCUUAGCGACGAGAUCAUCGGCAGAAGGUAGUACCUCAGAAGUAGUGUCGUCAUCGAUGUCUUUGUCGUCACCGAUGACGACCGCGUCCUCACCAAGUGCCAUGGUGCAGAAGCCUCUUGCGGUGUCUGUGAUGAAGCACAACCCGUCCAGCUUGUCCUCGACCCUCCUCUCUGUCUCCUCAUCACUCGAGGAAGAUACAACUCGUCGGAGUCAUGGUCGAGGUCGCUGAAGGAGGCAAGUAAGGCAUGCUCCUUGAUCUUUGCCUUAUGAAGGUACUUCUUCUUGAGCGCGUCCUUGUCGAAUCCUCCCUUGGACUUGUACUUGCCAGAGGAGUACUUGCCCUUAUGCCGACAGAGUGAUGGCCACGCUGGCUAGACUCUAAUUUGCCCUUCUUGGGGCAGAUGGCAAUGAAGUGGUCUGUAUCGCCAUAAUUGUAGCAUCCAUGCUUGGACCCACCACACCGCCGGCUCAUACAGUUGUUAUGGAACCGCGUGAACCGGCUGGCCACAAGUUCCAGCUCCUCAUCCCUAAGGCUCUCCACCUACUCCUCUAUAAUAGACAACAAAGAAGAUAGAGCAAACAUAGCAGGUGAGGAGUUAAAAGCAGAACCACGUCCAUAGACUAGGGCCAUGGUGGGUGCACUAGGGUUCUCAAUCUUGGCCCGAGUCUAGUGGUCAAUCUCUAUGGACUUGAGCUUGCUAAAGAGAUUGUCCACGCUGAGAGUCUCGUAGUUGGGUGACUCGAUGAUCGCCGAGACCUUCACCUCCCAAACCCUCCGAUUUAGAGCAUGUAGUAAUUUCGGCGCUCUCUCAUGAUCACUAUAGGGUAGCUGUGCCUUGUUGGCAUGCAUCUUGUUCACAAUAGACUAGAACCUGGAGAACAUAGGAUCAAUGGUCUCUCCAGCCAACUGUGUGAAGUUCUCGUACUCUCGCCUGUACGUCUCAAAAAGUCUGGUCUUCACAUGAUCGUUGCCCUCAAGGAAUCUCUCGAGGGUAGACCAGAUCUGAUGAGCUGUAGUCAGAUGUCCAACUCGCUCAAACUCACCAAGUGAGAGACACGAGAACAAAGCAUUUUGAGCUCUGUUGUUCGAAUCAUGGAACUCCAUUUGAAUUGGAGUGAUCCGGUCACUUGUAGCAUCAAAAUUCGCAUCGAGACAAAUUUCCCAAACCCGAUAACUGAUGCUCUGAAGAUACGCACACAUGUGAAUCUUCUAGUACGGGUAAUUGGUCCCAUCUAAUAACGGAGGUUUGCCAACACCUCGUUCCAUGUCGCCUAUGUGGAUUUCGAACCGAUUAGGGAAGAGGAAUCCUUAAGCGGCUCCGAUACCAAUUGUAGGACCGAUAAGGCGAUCAGAGGGGGGGUGAAUGAGAGCCAAUUGGAUUUUGCUUCCAAACACUGAAAAUGAACACUUCACUUCAAUUGAGAUGAAGCAAGUGCUCAAACCAUGAACACAUCAGCGAACGAGUGAUCUCAUGAUUACAAAAUGUUCAUAAUACUCACUUGAGGCCAGCAAAACAAACGGAUCGCAAAUCGGACACCAAAAAGUCCAAAACGGUCCAAAACAGUAUCGUCAACAAGUGUUGUUUUCAGCAGUACGAAAUUUUAUUCUUGAAUUCAAAACUGAACCAAACGAACUCCAAUUGAGAUGAAAUUUUACACACACCUGAGCAAAUACGUUUCCAAGGUCUCCCCAAAUUUUGAGCUCAAUCAAACUUGUGAAUCAACCACAGAUUUAAAAAUACAACCAGAAAUUGAGGUUUUGUUGGGGUUUUCUAGAACGAGUUCAAACUGAGUUUUUCUCAAAUCGCGACCAAAAUCUGCAACAACUAGGUGUAUGCAGUGGUUCGAAGAGUGCAACUCACCACCAAUCAAUCCCCAAACCAAAUUCUCUCAAAGGAAUCAUAGGUUUUUCACCAACAACACAAGAUCGGGGAAAAGGAGAAACCAAGACUAUAAAACUUCAGAAAUUCUAGCAAGGGUACAAACUGAGAUUUGAAGCCAAAGAGCCCUGUGGGCCAGAUCGGCAACCCUUCUGAAAGGGAAAUAGGGUUAACCUUUUCCUACAAUUAAUUUUGGUGGUUGAAUGUCCAACACAAACAUAUGGACUAACUAGUUUGCUCUAGAACUCAUGUAUUACAGGUGCAUAAGGUUCAACACAAACCAAUAAAAGAUUCAAGUUAGGGAUUAAAUUGAUCCAGAGCAAAGACUUGAGUGUGAUGUGGUUUGGCGCACCGGACUGUCCGGUGUGCCAACGGACAAUGUCCGGUGCACCAUGCCCGUACAAAUCCAAAGCAGCCACUCUCGGGAAAACGCAGCCGCGCUCCGCUAUAAUUCACCGCACUGUCCGGUGAGCCAGCGGGGUAACGGCUACCUGCGCAACGGUCGACUCUAACAACGCUACAGUGUCGCAGCAGAAGUCAGAGCAGCGGGUCAGAGGGGCACCAGACUGUCCGGUGCACCACCAGACUGUCCGGUGCCACAAGCAGACAAAGGCGCCAAUGGUCGACUGCUCCAGAACCCUAACGGUUGGGUGACGUGGCGGCGCACUGGACACUGAACAGUGUCUGUCUAGUGGCGCACUGGACUGUCCGGUGCGCCCAUCAACAUCAGCCUCCCCAACAGCUACCUUGGUGGUUGAGGGCUAUAAAUACCCCCAACCAUCACAACUUCAAGCAUCCAAGUUUUCUGAAUAUCACAUUCAAUACAAGAGCUCUAGCAUUCACUCCAAGACACAAUACAAAAGAUCAAAUCCUCUCCGAAUCCCAAAUCCACUCCAAACACUUAGUGGCUUGUGAGAGAGAGAUUUUUGUGUUCAUUCGAGUUCUUAUCGCUUGGAUUGCCUUUCUUCUUUUCAUUCUCUUACUCUCAAGUGCUUUUUAAGCGAAUCAAGAGACACCAAGUGUGUGGUGGUCCUUGCAGGGUCUUAGUGACCCGUGAGAUUAAGGAAGAAGGCUCACUCGGUCUAAGUGACCGUUUGAGAGAGGGAAAGGGUUGAAAUAGACUUGGUCUUUGUGACCUCCUCAACGAGGACUAGGUUCUUUGGAACCGAACCUCGGUAAAACAAAUCACCAUGUUCAUUCGCUUGAUUCUCAUUUGAUUUGUUUUCCCCUUUCUCUAGGACUUGAUUUUAGUUCUAACGCUAACCCCGACUUGUAGUGUGUGUUUAAAGUUGUAAAUUUCAGAUUACGCCUAUUCACCCCCCUCUAGGUGACUUUCAAUUGGUAUCAGAGCCUGGUGCUUCAUUAGAGUCUAACAACUUGAAGUGAUGUCGGGAGAUCAUGCCAAGAUGGAAAUCGUAACCGACGACAAGUCCGCAAGCUCGGGGAGGACUCUCUCAAGGGAAUCCGGCAAUAAACACAAGGAGGAAUCCUCUUCCUCCAUCAAGUCGCUUCGGAAAGGUGACAAGAAGAAGAAGAUGAAAAAGGUCAUCUACUACGAGACCGACUCUUUGUCACCCUUCACAUCUGUUGGGACUUGUUCUCAAAUGCUAUGAAUUAAGAACAAGGCAACACAAAAAUAGGUUAAUGAUUAAUGCCCUUCGUCCUUCGAAGCAUUAUUUCCCUAAGGAUAUAACGAUCUUCGGACGAAGGUUAUAAAGGACGUACCUUCAUCAUCACAGCAUAUAACAAUGAAAGACGAAGCAUAUGAAACAUGAGAAAUAACAUGGAUAAUCAUAUGGCAUCAAAAUAUAUCUUUUGUUAUAUAAUCAUGAAUGAAUAAGAACAAUAUUAAAUUACAUUUGUACCUUCGGCUUGACAAAAAAGCAAAGGUACAGGUGUGAUGCACAAGCGAUUACAAAUCAGCAUGAACAGUGUAACACCCCAGGUGUUACUCAGGGUGUCCACCCAGGGCUACACCAUUUAAACCUACUAUCACAUGUGGGUUAGUUUGAGCAACGUACAUCAAACUUAGAAUUCAAGGUCCUAAGCAAGUGCAACCCAUCUUGGAUAUCAUACCCUAACUUAUCAUGCACAUCUAAAGGGGAGAAUUGACCAAAACCCUAAAGCAAACCCCUUGGGACAAUGGGAACCCUAGAUGUAAGUAUGACCAAAAGGUCAUGAAAACAUUAUGAUCAUGGCUUGGACCAAAUAUAGAAGUUGUAGUACACUUAAUAACCUACAAAUAAUAGUAAGAAAGUAACCCCAAAAAGAUUUCAGAAAAGCCCCAAAAGGUUCACCAAAGGUUUGAGCACAAAAGAAAAAUCAGAAAUUGCCUAAGUCCAAAACUAACCUUUGGCCAAAGAUCACACAUGUGCACCCUCAUUCAAACUUCAAAACACUUCAACCCAAUUGACAAAGUGGCGCCAAAUUAACCCUAGAAUGCCCUGGAAAAAGUUGACACCUACCCUAAGACGUUUGACACGACUUGGCACCAUUUUGUCUCGGUUUGGACAUCUCUGACAUAGCCGACUUCCCACCCCCAUAUCUCUCUAACCCGACCACAUCUACCCUUGGAACUCACAUGAACUAGGUAGCUCUAGGUGCAGGGAAGAGAUCUCUCACAGGCUCUAGGGCAAGAUUCGUACGUUUUGGCCGCUCAGCAGAGGGAAGAACACGGGCAGAAGCAAAGAGCCACGUGUUCGACGCGCUCUGAGCUCGCCAGAGCAUGCCCGCACGCGCCCCCGCUUGCCCCGCGUCGCGCCAAAGCCAAGCCGGCACCAUGGCCCGCGCCCGCGCCUAUAAAGCCCCCAGGGACUUCGACCGUACCCCUCCGCACGCGCUCGACCUCACCGGAGCCCAAACCCACCGGCGUUUGCCCGUGCACGGCGUGUUCGCGGCCGCCCGAUCCCCCUGCCACCGUAGACCGGCCAACAAAACCCUUCCCAACCCCGUCCGACCCUCGGAGAAGACUGAGCACACCUCGGUGAAGCUCCCCGAGCGGGGAAUCGGAGUUUGCUUCGCCGGAGAGGCCAGUCCACGGUCGCCGGACUCCACCCGACCACCGGCGAGCGUAGACCGGGUAAUCCUCUGCUCCAUUCCUCGAUUCCUUGUGCACACAGCCUCUACGUCACCCCGUGAAGCUCACUGUGCCAUUGGAUUGAGCUAGGUCGCCGUGGUUUGGCCGGAACACCCGCCGCCGACGAGAGCACCCGCCUGCGCACGUGGACCGGACGAUUCCGGCCACCCCCGUCGUCGAACCGUACACCGUUGUGACUGCCAGGACCUCCUGGAGCCAACCCCGCCCCUCGCCGGACUUCUCUCACCGCCGGUAAGCCGCGCCGCCCUUUUCUUUCUCGCGGGUACUAUUUAAACCUAGGGAGGGACCGCGGGGGAGAAGAAGAGAAAGCUAGGGGGUUUUGCGCAAUGUCAGUGACUCAGAGAAAUAGUAGCGCGGGGGUAUAACUGAGAGAGUUAGUUUGGAAAUAACCCGAGGACCCCGGUGCAAAGUGGUUUUCCAGGAAACCUUUUAUUAAAUCUGAUUUAAAAUUUAAACAGAACUUGAAUAAUUCAUAUCUUGUGUUUUAUUCAUCCAAAUUGAGUCAAACCAAUUUUGUCAGAUCUUAAAUAAUAUAAACUACUUAAAAAAUAUAAAACCCCUAUGUGCUACAGAAAACUUUAGGGUUCUGAUUUAAAUAUUGAUUUGGCCAAAAGCUAAAUAAUAGGAAGAAAAAUAGUUGCACUAUUUAACUGAGGUUAAGAAAAUUUGGAGAAGUACAUGACCACCUAGUGACCUAUUUAAAAAUGAUACACCCCUUUUGUACACCCCAUUAAGGUAGAGUUUGCCAUUUAUUUCACAUUGUGCUUAAAGUUAAAGAAAAUAGGAAAGGUGAUUUAAUUAAGGAACCAGGGGCACCCCUAUUUUUGUUAGUUUACUUAUUCAAUAUAGUUCACUAGAAAAAUCUAUUAUACUCUGGUUUAGUACAAAAUAAUUGGGAUACCUUUUAUUUUAAGAAAACAAGGAAAAUUUAGAAAAACCCUAGAAAAUAACCCCAAGGUGAAAACACCCCAAACCUUGGGAUAAUUAAUGUUUUAUUAUUAAGAACUUAGGAAAAAUAUGAAAUCUGCUGUUUGACAUUUUUCAAAUAGCAAGGCAGUAGAAAGUGCCUUUUUGGCAUUAAACUUUGGAAAAUCACAACUAAAUAACCAUCCCUUAGCUUUCUGUGAUUUUUGGCACAGAAGCUUAUUAUUACUGUUAAAUGCCAAUAAAAAUAACCCUUAGGACAGAACCCGCCCCUAGUUAAGAGUUGUAGUGCAAAGUGGCCCAUUUACACAACUUUUGUUAUUUUUGUCUAAAGCAUAGCCUUUUUAUUUUGAACCUCAAAUUCCUGGAACAGGCUAUAUUGACCAAUGGCAAGCCACUGUAAUUUUUACAGAAUUUUUGGAAAAAGUUAAUGCACUGUUGUAGUUCAAACCUACACUAGAAUUCAUAAAUAGAAAAUAAAGAAAGGAAAAAUGAAUAAUGGAAAUUAGUGUCAUCCUAAAACCCUUUGUAAAUUGUCCACUGAAAUAUAUAAAGGAAAUACCAAUCCACUAUGCUUAUCCUUAACAAAACCUAAACCUAGAGUGAUAAGCAUAAACCACUAAAAGCCACGUAUGACCAAUGAACCCUAAGUUGCCAACUAACUUAGUUUUUCUUCCUUUAGCAUAAUGUUAUUAAAUCCUGCAUAAUCAUGACAUACAUAUUCAUUACAUUUCGAUAGACUGUAACCUCGCUGACGGAGAGUACGUCCUCGUGCCAGAGCAAGGAGCUGCUCAGGAGGUAGCCCCGGAUCCAGCACCAGAGCCUGCACCAGAGGAUCUGCCUGCCACUGCUUUGGAAGGCAAGCCCCAGUUUAUGUAUAACCUGUUAUUUAUGUUAUUUUACUACACCUAAUGAUUGUAGGAUUGAUUGUGCACUUAGGUGUAGGAGUUGUUUGAAACCCUAGUUGCAUGAUCUAAGGAAUCCUUUUGAGAUGAAUACUAGUAUGCUAGGUCGAGGUAGUUGCUUUAUUAAUUAGAAUCUUGGUAGAAGUCAAGUGAUUUUUCUAGCACUCGCACGAGGUCAGGAAAUUGGUUGUAUCCACUUUCUUCUCAUAAUGAUGCUGGUUGUGGACAACAAUCCAUGGGGAUUGGUUGUCCAUGGAAUAAAAAAAUUUGAAUAAGGAUUAAGGUGUGGUAUCGUGAGUCAAGCGUUUGAACGUACUAAACACAUACCGAGAAAUAUGGUAAAUCGGUAAGCCUAGUACCUGAGUGAACCUGCCCGUAGACUUUACCCCUCACACGACCUGAGACGUGGUCUCCCAUUCCGGUUAUGGUGGGUACAAGUGCGGUCACUACACGACGGCAAUCGGGGUCACUGAGGCAUUGUACGCCAAGGCGGUGAGCCCUGAUCUGUUGCCAGGGAAUCGAUGGGAACAGUUGAUGUGUGUGGGGACGGAGUGCCCCUACACGUCGUGUGUUUAGGUUUACCUUGCAAGGAUAAAAACUUGAUUCGAAUCGUCUGCUUCUCGCAGCUAAUGAGACUGCUUGAUCCAUGCUGCUACAUUGAGUAGUCAGUACAUAUUUAGCCUUAAGAGAGUCACACUUAAAUUUGACAAAGUUAAAACUUGAUUUAGAGACUCAGCUAGUGCUUUUGGCAAACCAAACCCCUCAGCCAAACAGCUGCAUGUCUAGAGGUAGAGGAGUAGACUCCUCACACCGGGUAAGUCUAGCUGAGUAUUAGUAUACUCAGCCUUGCUUGUGGCAUAAUUUUACAGGUUCUUUGGAGGACAUGGUUGCUGGAGUGACUUGGCCGUCCAUCUUGCCACCGGGUUGGACUGUCGAGUGGGACCCCACCUCGGCCGAGGUGGAGCAUGAGGAGUGAUGGGACAAGCUUCCCCAUCCCUCCAUUUAUCUAUCGUUAGUUUUAUUCCGCUGCACUUCGAACAAUGAUGACUACUUUUGCAAAACUCCGAUGGUGAUGUAAUAAUUUAAUACUCCUUAAUGUAUGGUUUUAUGCUUUAUUGUAUUUGCUCUGUGACUCACCAUCGAGUGAGAUUGUGGUACUUGAUCCUGUCAGUGGCCUCGUCGGACUAGAUCCGAGGGAUUGACGGGUUAUUCCCAUUUAAGUGUGGUCUAGCCUCUAAGGCGGGACUUAGGCACUUAAGUCGGAAUAAUUUGGGCAGUUCCGCCACAGCUGGUAUCGGAGCUUGUACCACCACAUAGGAAUCAAUAAAAUAUAAAUACCAUCCUUUUCCGAAGUAAAACUUGAUAGAAACAAUGUUGGAUAGAUCGUAGGACGAUCAGGACAGACCUAGGACGUGAAGCCUUAGGAUGAUAGAGGGGUAGUUAGGUGGCUAAGUGAUUAAGCCCUACAGGCUACUAUAAGGGAUGGGAGUUCUUCCCUAUUCCCUUUACAUUGAUGUGAGGUCGUUCAGGACGAGCAUGCAUGCAUUCUUAAAUUAAAACAAAUGGAUAAUUGGGUAAGGACUUUAAUACAAAAUGAUGACCAACUAAGUACCCCAGUACCAUUGUUAUAUUUAGAGAGAGGCUGAGUUGUGUUUCCUUUUUCUUUUUAUAAUUCUUUUUCUUUUACUUACGCUUAAUCGUACACAGAUGACUUCCCACGGAUCCUCAGACGACGGGAAUGCACUGUCCCACACUGACGGGCUUGCACGAGAGGGCUUUCCCCGUAUUUUGUGGGAGGUACUUCAGGGGGCUGGAUACACGACACCUCCUCAGUACGCGGUGCAGCAGUUCGAGAAGCACCGAGUGCCCCGCUGUAGGGUGAGGAUGACCUUGGAGCCUCAUCCCCUGCAGCCAGGCUGGCGUUCGCUGGACUCUGAGUCCUUUGGAUACCGGGCUAAGGAUACGAUCGAGGCGAUUGCUCUACACAGGUUGACCACUUUCUGCGGAUUCCAUCCCUUGGAGCUAUCCACCCACCCCAUUGGCUUGUUCCCGCGGAGAAGGAGGACGACCCAAUGUGGAAGGAUCGGGUGGAGCAUGCCAAGGACAUCUGGGCUAUCUACCCGGGCCAGACUGCUCACUUGAUAGUGCGGUGCAUGAAUGCCCUGUACCGUCUGCAAGUGAUGCGUGGUGAGGCAAUGUCCCAUCUGAUGGCACUAUUGGAGGCAACUAAGAUCACCCUGGACAACAGAGAGGAGCUUGUGGUUGAUUUGUCCACUGAGAUGGUGGAAAAGGACUUGCAGGUGGAGCAGUUGUCAAAUGAGAUCCAUGAGCUGGAGGAAUUAGUGGGAACAAGGGAGAACACCAUCGAGGUUCUCGAGGAUCAGCUUAUCAACACCCAGCAGCAGCUUGCCGAGGCUAAUGAGCACCUAGAUAUGCAUCACCAGGAGAUCCAGGAUAUGGAGGCUAACGAGGACGUCGACAUUGAGGGAGGAGAGGAGCCUGCCUCCAGCUUGGACACUGCUGGCUCAGGGAGACCACCUUCCCCCGAGUCGAGUGUUGCCUCGUUCGUUCACUAGGUAUCAGGAGUAGGGCUAGAAGUCGGAAAUGGUGGGACUCCUCAAAGCUAGAUUAGCUUUUGCACCCUUGGGGCACUAGGCUAGAUAGAGUUGAGUCUUUUGGGCCACUGAUGUAAUCAUGAUAAACUCUUUUGGAAGCAUGGUUGAUGGAUGAUGUUAGUCUUAAUUUGGGAAGAAAAGUUUAAGCCUUGUGAAAUCCUUUAUGUUUAUGCAAGAAUCUAUCACUUCGCCUUUUGACUCAUUCUUCGCGAUUGAACCUUGAACCUUAAAGAUGUGUUAUUGAGAAUAUAUGUGAUUUUUCAGAUGGCCGGGAGAGCGCGUCGCGGUCAGAAUGAGCGCGUUCCUCCACCACCGCCACCGCCUCCCACUCUGCAGGAGCUAAUGGCUCAGCAGAAUGAGAUCUUGAGGCAGCUAGCUCAGCGCCAGCCACCACCUCAGCACUAUGGUGGUGGAGAUCAUCAACGUCACCCCGCGGCAGCCACCUACCAGGAGUUCCUCAGUACCCAGGCUCCAUUGUUCACCAGGGCAGAGGACCCACUUGAUGCGGAUGUAUGGUUGAGAGUAGUGGAAUCCAAAUUCCCGCUACUCCAUGGAGUUUGUUCAGAGGUCACUAAAGUCAGGUUCGCCACCCAGCAGCUUCGCGGACCCGCAAGGACUUGGUGGGACCAUUUUCUUGCUAUGCAGCCAGAUGACCGAGAGGUGGAAUGGAGAGAGUUCAAGGCAGCUUUCAGGGGGCACCAUAUACCAGCCGGAAUUAUGGACCGAAAGCUCAACGAGUUUCUGGCGCUCACUCAGGGCAACCGGACAGUGUUGCAGUAUGCUCAGGCCUUCAAUGACAUGUGCCAGUAUGCUGGGUAUCAUGCAGAUACAGACGAGAAGAAGAGAGACAAGUUCAGGAGGGGGCUCAGCACUAAGCUCCGUGACCAUCUCAACACCGUCAGGGCCAACAGCUAUAAUGAGUUAGUCAACAUGGCCAUUUCUCAGGAGGACUGUAUCACCGCUCGUCAGGCAGAGAAGAAGAGGAAGACCCCUGUGGCAGGACCCUCAGCUCAGCCACAGCGCUUCAGGAUUGUGUCCGACACUCAGAACAGGGGGCCUCAGCAGCAGCAAGGGCGAUGGGUGAUCCGACCACAGCGGCAGCAGCAGGCACCCAACCGUACCCAGUUUCCAGCUCCGAGGAACAAUCAACAGCAGUAGCAGUAUCGCUAGGCAAAUGACAACAGGUGUUUCACAUGUGGCAACACCGAACAUUAUGCCAAGAAUUGUCCCAGGAACCAGCAGAGGCAGGGGCAGAAUGUUAAUCAGAAUCAAGGCAAGAGACAGAAGGUGCAAGUGAGGCAGGGCAGGCUGAACUUCACCACCAUGGCUGAUAUUCCAGAGGGAGCACCCGUCAUGACUGGUAUCUUUACAGUUUUGAAUUAUCUGCUAUUAUUCUUUUUGAUUCUGGUGCAUAACAUAGCUUUAUCAGUGCCAAAUUUAGUGCCAAGUGUCAAUUGCCUUUCCACCACACCAAUGGGGGUAUUACAAUUUCGACACCAGGAGGCAGGAUUGCCACCUACCAAGUCAACAGACAUGUGCCCAUAAGGUUUGGUAGUCUAAUAAUUAAAACCACCCUCCUCAUUUUGGGUUUGGAUAGCGUGGAUAUCAUAUUGGGAACUGACUGGUUAACCAGGCAUCAGGCAGUUAUUGAUAUUGCAGCUAGGGCCAUUGAGGUGCACUCACCGACUUGUGGUGAAACCACACUAUUUUUGCCCAACCAAGGCUGUACCCGUUCUUGUGCCUUCGUUAUGAUAGAGUCCCCAGUGGAAAGGAUCCCAGUGGUCCGUGACUACCCGGAUGUUUUUUCGGAUGAAUUGCCAGGGAUGCCACCUGACCGAGACAUCGAGUUCGCAAUCGAAUUGCAACCCGGGACUGCUCCUAUCUCCAAGAGACCCUAUAGGAUGCCUCCCCCAUAAUUAGCAGAACUGAAAAAGCAACUGCAGGAGUUGUUGGACAAGGGGUUCAUUCACCCAAGUACUUCACCUUGGGGAUGUCCUGCUUUAUUUGUGAAGAAAAAGGAUGAGAGUUUGAGAAUGUGUGUUGAUUACCGCCCUCUCAAUGCGGUGACUAUCAAGAACAAAUACCCAUUGCCCCGCAUUGAUGUUUUGUUCGAUUAGUUGGUGGGAGCCAAAGUGUUCUCCAAGAUAGAUCUUCGUUCGGGUUACCAUCAGAUCAAGAUCCGUACCAGUGAUAUUCCCAAAACGGCUUUCUCAACCAGAUAUGGGCUUUAUGAGUUUUUGGUAAUGUCUUUUGGGCUGACCAAUGCCCCGGCUUAUUUUAUGUACCUGAUGAACUAAGUAUUCAUGCCAGAGCUGGACAAAUUCGUGGUUGUUUUCAUUGAUGAUAUUCUGGUAUAUUCCAAGAAUGAAGCCGAGCACACCAAACAUUUGCAUGGACUUCAUCGUGGGACUGCCCAAUACCUCCAGGCACCAUGAUUCAAUUUGGGUUAUUGUGGACAGAUUGACCAAGACCGCUCAUUUCUUGCCAGUACACACCACCCACAGGACGGAGAAGUAUGCAGAAAUCUACAUUGACCAGAUAGAUCGUUUGCAUGGGAUACCAAGGACUAUAGUAUCAGACAGAGGAGCACCAUUUGUGGCACGAUUUUGGGAACAAUUGCAGGAAUCACUUGGGACCCAUGUAGUACGAAGCUCAGCAUACCAUCCUCAAACAGAUGGCCAGACAGAAAGGGUAAACCAGAUUUUGGAAGACAUGUUAAGGGCAUGUGUGCUGCACUACAGAAAAGAUUGGGACAAGUGCCUUUCUUUGGCAGAGUUUUCUUAUAAUAACAGCUACCAGUCCAGUUUGAAGAUGACACCUUUUGAAGCCUUAUAUGGGAGAAGAUGUAGAACCCCGCUGAAUUGGUCUCAAGUAGGAGAGAGGGAAAUAUUUGGACCAGACUUGGUACUUGAAGCAGAGGAAAAGGUCAGAGUUAUUACAAAGAACUUAGAAGCUGCUCAGGCCAGGCAAAAGAGCUAUCAUGACAAGAGGCGGAAGCCUCUACAAUUUGAAGUGGGAGAUCAUGUUUAUCUUAAGGUGUCACCCACCAAGGGUGUCCAGAGAUUCGGGAUCAAGGGCAAGUUAGCUCCUCGCUACAUUGGACCCUACGAGAUCAAGGAGGCUUGUGGACCUGUAGCCUAUCAAUUGAAGUUGCCACCCAGCAUGUCAGCUGUUCAUGAUGUGUUUCAUGUAUCUCAGCUGCGGAAAUGUGUCUGCCUACCCACUGAAGUGCUACCUGAGCCAGACAUUGAGAUAGAACCAGACUUGUCCUAUCAAGAGUACCCCGUCAGGGUAUUGGAUCAGAAAGAAGGUCAACGCAGGCAAGGUCAAUCAGAAUGUAUAAGGUUCAGUGGAGUCACCAUUCAGUAGAAGAAGUUAUAUGGGAGACUGAGGAUUUUCUACGCUCUCGCUUCCCCGACUUUCUGCCCAAAGGAGUCGGUACGUAACCCAAAACCCCACCCCCACCUGCCCUUCGAAUACAAUUAUAAGAAAAACUUAGAUAACAAGGGUAGUCUAAGUUGUGGUUUUAACUUAAAAAAGGACUUCCUUCUGAAGUUGCAAAGAGAAUGACAUUCGAAGAGCAGUUAACAAGAGAAACUUGGGUAAAAGAAAGGGUAGCGCACCAACACACCUUCACGCACCCCUCCAAGGGACUCUACCUAAAUCUCGGGACGAGAUUCCUUUAAGGGGGGAGGGCUGUAACACCCCAGGUGUUACUCAGGGUGUCCACCCAGGGCUACACCAUUUAAACCUACUAUCACAUGUGGGUUAGUUUGAGCAAAGUACAUCAAACUUAGAAUUCAAGGUCCUAAGCAAGUGCAACCCAUCUUGGAUAUCAUACCCUAACUUAUCAUGCACAUCUAAAGGGGAGAAUUGCCCAAAACCCUAAAGCAAACCCCUUGGGACAAUGGGAACCCUAGAUGUAAGUAUGACCAAAAGGUCAUGAAAACCUUAUGAUCAUGGCUUGGGCCAAAUAUAGACGUUGUAGUACACUUAAUAACCUACAAAUAAUAGUAAGAAAGUAACCCCAAAAAGAUUUUAGAAAAGCCCCAAAAGGUUCACCAAAGGUUUGAGCACAAAAGAAAAAUCAGAAAUUGCCUAAGUCCAAAACUAACCUUUGGCCAAAGAUCACACAUGUGCACCCUCAUUCAAACUUCAAAACACUUCGACCCAAUUGACAAAGUGGCGCCAAAUUAACCCUAGAUUGCCCUGGAAAAAGUUGACACCUACCCUAAGACGUUUGACACGACAUGGCACCAUUUUUGUCUCGGUUUGGACAUCUCUGACAUAGCCGACUUCCCACCCCCAUAUCUCUCUAACCCGACCACAUCUACCCUUGGAACUCACAUGAACUAGGUAGCUCUAGGUGCAGGGAAGAGAUCUCUCACAGGCUCUAGGGCAAGAUUCGUACGUUUUGGCCGCUCAGCAGAGGGAAGAACACGGGCAGAAGCAAAGAGCCACGUGUUCGACGCGCUCUGAGCUCGCCAGAGCACGCCCGCGCGUGCCCCCGCGUGCCUCGCGUCGCGCCAAAGCCAAGCCGGCGCCAUGGCCCGCGCCCGCGCCUAUAAAGCCCCCAUGGACUUCGACCGUACCCCUCCGCACGCGCUCGACCUCACCGGAGCCCAAACCCGCCUGCGUUUGCCCGUGCACGGCAUGUCCGCGGCCGCCCGAUCCCCCUGCCACCGUAGACCGGCCAACGGAACCCUUCCCAACCCCGUCCGACCCUCGGAGAAGACUGAGCACACCUCGGUGAAGCUCCCCAAGCGAGGAAUCGGAGUUUGCUUCGCCGGAGAGGCCAGUCCACGGUCGCCGGACUCCACCCGACCGCCGGUGAGCGUAGACCUGGUAAUCCUCUGCUCCAUUCCUCGAUUCCUUGUGCACACAGCCUCUAUGUCACCCCGUGAAGCUCACUGUGCCAUUGGAUUGAGCUAGGUUGCCGUGGUUUGGCCGGAACACCCGCCGCCGACGAGAGCACCCGCCUGCGCACGUGGAUCGGACGAUUCCGGCCACCCCCACCGUCGAGCCGUACAACGUUGUGACCGCCAGGACCUCCCAGAGCCAACCCCGCCCCUCGCCGGACUUCUCUCACCGUCGGUAAGCCGCGCCACCCUUUUCUUUCUCGCGGGUACUGUUUAAACCUAGGGAGGGACCGCGGGGGAGAAGAAGAGAAAGCUAGGGGGUUUUGCGCAAUGUCAGUGACUCAGAGAAAUAGUAGCGCGGGGGUAUAACUGAGAGAGUUAGUUUGGAAAUAACCCGAGGACCCCGGUGCAAAGUGGUUUUCCAGGAAACCUUUUAUUAAAUCUGAUUUAAAAUUUAAACAGAACUUGAAUAAUUAAUAUCUUCUAUUUUAUUCAUCCAAAUUGAGUCAAACCAAUUUUGUCAGAUCUUAAAUAAUAUAAACUACUUAAGAAAAAUAUAAAACCCCUAUGUGCUACAGAAAACUUUAGGGUUCUGAUUUAAAUAUUGAUUUGGCCAAAAGCUAAAUAAUAGGAAGAAAAAUAGUUGCACUAUUUAACUGAGGUUAAGAAAAUUUGGAGAAGUACAUGACCACCUACUGACCUAUUUAAAAAUGAUACACCCCUUUUGUACACCCCAUUAAGGUAGAGUUUGCCAUUUAUUUCACAUUGUGCUUAAAGUUAAAGAAAAUAGGAAAGGUGAUUUAAUUAAGGAACCAGAGGGCACCCCAAUUUUUGUUAGUUUACUUAUUCAAUAUAGUUCACUAGAAAAAUCUAUUAUACUUUGGUUUAGUACAAAAUAAUUGGGAUACCUUUUAUUUUAAGAAAAUAAGGAAAACUUAGAAAAACUCUAGAAAAAUAACCCCAAAAUGAAAACACCCCAAACCUUGGGAUAAUUAAUGUUUUAUUAUUAAGAACUUAGGAAAAAUAUGAAAUCUGCUGUUUGACAUUUUUCAAAUAGCAAGGUAGUAGAAAGUGCCUUUUUGGCAUUAAACUUUGGAAAAUCACAACUAAAUAACCAUCCCUUAGCUUUCUAUGAUUUUGGGCACAAAAGCUUAUUAUUACUGUUAAAUGCCAAUAAAAAUAACCCUUAGGACAGAACCCACCCCUAGUUAAGAGUUGUAGUGCAAAGUGGCCCAUUUACACAACUUUUGUUAUUUUUGUCUAAAGCAUAGACUUUUUAUUUUGAACCUCAAAUUCCUAGAACAGGCUAUAUUGACCAAUGGCAAGCCACUGUAAUUUUUACAGAAUUUUUGGAAAAAGUUAAUGCACUGUUGUAGUUCAAACCUACACUAGAAUUCAUAAAUAGAAAAUAAAGAAAGGGAAAAUGAAUAAUGGAAAUUAGUGUCAUCCUAAAACCCUUUGUAAAUUGUCCACUGAAAAAUAUAAAGGAAAUACCAAUCCACUAUGCUUAUCCUUAACAAAACCUAAACCUAGAGUGAUAAGCAUAAACCACUAAAAGCCACGUAUGACCAAUGAACCCUAUGUUGCCAACUAACUUAGUUUUUCUUCCUUUAGCAUAAUGUUAUUAAAUCCUGCAUAAUCAUGACAUACAUAUUCAUUGCAUUUCGAUAGACUGUAACCUCGCUGACGGAGAGUACGUUCUCGUGCCGGAGCAAGGAGCUGCUCAGGAGGUAGCCCCGGAUCUAGCACCAGAGCCUGCACCAGAGGAUCUGCCUGCCACUGCUUUGGAAGGCAAGCCCCGGUUUAUGCAUAACCUGUUAUUUAUGCUAUUUUACUACACUUAAUGAUUGUAGGAUUGAUUGUGCACUUAGGUGUAGGAGUUGUUUGAAACCCUAGUUGCAUGAUCUCAGGAAUCCUUUUGAGAUGAAUACUAGUAUGCUAGGUCGAGGUAGUUGCUUUAUUAAUUAGGAUCUCGGUAGAAGUCGAGUGAUUUUUCUAGCACUCGUGCGAGGUCAGGAAAUUGGUUGUAUCCACUUUCUUCUCAUAAUGAUCUCGGUAGAAGUCGAGUCCAUGGAAUAAAAAAAUUUGAAUGAGGAUUAAGGUGUGGUACCGUGAGUCAAACGUUUGAACGUACUAAACACAUACCGAGAAAUAUGGUAAAUCGGUAAGCCUAGUAACUGAGUGAACCUGUCCACAGACUUUACCCCUCACGCGACCUGAGACGUGGUCUCCCAUUCUAAUUAUGGUGGGUACAAGUGCGGUCACUGCACGGCGGCAGUCGGGGUCAGUGAGGCAUUGUACGCCAAGGCAGUGAGCCCUGAUCUGUUGCCAGGGAAUCGAUGGGGACGGUUGAUGUGUGUGGAGACGGAGUGCCCCUACACGUCGUGUGUUUAGGUUUACCUUGCAAGGAUAAAAACUCGAUUCGAAUCGUCUACUUCUCGCAGCUAAUGAGACUGCUUGAUCCAUGCUGCUACAUUGAGUAACAAGUGGAAAUAUGAUGAGUUGAUACAAGAUGUUGAUUGCUAAAAAUGUUUGCUACUAUGUAUGAGUAGUCAGUACAUAUUUAGCCUUAAGAGAGUCACACUUAAAUUUAACAAAGUUAAAACUUGAUUUAAAGACUCAGCUAGUGCUUUUGGCAAACCAAACCCCUCAGCCAAACAGCUGCAUGUCUAGAGGUAGAGGAGUAGACUCCUCACACCGGGUAAGUCUAGCUGAGUAUUAGUAUACUCAGCCUUGCUUGUGACAUAAUUUUACAGGUUCUUUGGAGGACAUGGUUGCUGGAGUGACUUGGCCGUCCAUCUUGCCACCGGGUUGGACUGUCGAGUGGGACCCCGCCUCGGUCGAGGAGGAGCAUGAGGAGUGAUGGGACAGGCUUCCCCAUCCCUCCAUUUAUCUAUCGUUAGUUUUAUUCCGCUGCACUUCGAACAAUGAUGACUACUUUUGCAAAACUCCGAUGGUGAUGUAAUAAUUUAAUACUCCUUAAUGUAUGGUUUUAUGCUUUAUUGUAUUUGCUCUGUGACUCACCAUCGAGUGAGAUUGUGGUACUUGAUCCUGUCAGUGGCCUCGUCAGACUAGAUUCGAGGGAUUGACGGGUUAUUCCCAUUUAAGUGUGGUCUAGCCUCUAAGGCGGGACUUAGGCACUUAAGUCGGAAUAAUUCGGGCAGUUCCGCCACAAACAGUACAGUGGUACUGUUCAUCUAUUUAUAGGCACAGGGCGCAGCCUGUGUGAAAUUACAUUUAUGUCCUCUACAACUGGUUACAAUCAUGACACAAAUUAUCAUGGGCUGAUUGGUCUCUUCAUCUUUAAGUCGGUGCAAUCCUUCGUCUCAAAGCGUGUCGCUAUGCCGAAGCUUCCUGGAUGGUAGCUUCGGUGUUGCUUCUGUGUUGAUCUUCCAAAGGUGUUUCUUCUUACAGGACCUUCGGCGAUGAAGCAGAGCCCCAACCGUAGCCCCUUCGUGGUGCUAGAUCGUUUUUCGUAACGAGCUUGAUCCGUGAAAAAUUCUCCAAGGCUUCGGAAUGUCGAAGGUCCAAAAAACACCUUCCCUGAGCUCGUUGCCGAGAAACGAUUAAAAUAUUCCGAGCGCGAGGUGGCCCACCAUGCAGCGGGUACGCGCGAUCUGGCGAUUCACCUCCCACGCGCCGAGUGGUCCACCUUUCAGUGGGUGCAGGUAACUGUUCAGCGGGUGCGGGGACUUGACGAUUCACCGUCACACCUGCAACACUAUAUAAACAGACUGGUAGGUGUGAAGUUACCACAGCAUUCAUUGCCAUUGCACUGUUGUGCUGCUGAAAAAUUUAACCAUAGCCGAAGCCUGUUCAUCGCAUUCUCAAUCAAAGCAUCAUCUUGAUUUAGCUUCGGCAUAAGAGAAAGCUUCGACAAAACUAUAAAAAUCAUCAACUUCGUUAGAACUGCAAGAAAUUCAACAUCAAAUGGCCAGAGUACGUUCAACUGCGAGGGUGACCCGUGACGGAGAGGAGGCCAAAGCCACCGAGACUGCCCCGAUCUCCAAAGUGAUGAGGCAAUCGAGAUUAGUUGUGUUAGAGGAAGCCAUUGAACAAGGUGCACCUGCUGUUGAAACUGAACAAGAUGUUGAAUAAGAAAUCGCUGAUGAAGAGGAAGAAGAAGAUUAUAGCAUUCUGAUCCCGUCAAAACCUAGCCACUUGGAUUUUGGAAAAUCUACCAUUUCUGAAGCUGAUAUGCCCAUGAUGAUAAAGUUAGGCUACUUCAGGGAAACUGAGAAAAAGUUGAUUCGUUUUGCUGGGGAAGAGACCACUCCGACACCGAAAAAUGAUGAGGUGGUAGUUUUCAAGAGUUUCUUCAGAGCGGGAUUGUGGUUUCCCUUGAACGAGAUGAUUGGGGAAGUUUUGGAUAAUUACGAAAUCUAUCUUCAUCAGCUGACCCCUAACACUAUUGUUAGGCUCAGCGUCUUCAUCUGGGCCCUACGAAGCCAAGGAAUGGACCCGAAUGCUGAAGCUUUUUGUCGAGUGCAUGAGCUUCAUUAUCAGACAAAGGCCAGAGAAGAUGGGCUUCGUGAGAAUUUUGCUUGUUACAACUUUGCUUACCGUAAGGAUGUGAAGGCCCCAGUGCUAAGCUACCGGACCAAGUGGCCAAAUGGUUGGAAAAGUGAGUGGUUCUAUGUGAAGGCCGACGAGAAGAAGAGGGAGAAGAUGAAGACGCUAGUGCUGAGCCCGCUGAGCUUAAGCUUUGGGUUGACUAGGCCCCUGUGCCACAUGACGUCGGGGUCACCAUGCCAACAAGCUGUGGCAGAGUUUAGGGUGGUAGCCGAACAGAUCAGCACCAGAUAUCUAGUUCAAGAAUACUUGGCUAACAGAACAUCUCCGACUUUGAGCGAAUUUAGCAUGCCGAAGCUAAAAGGAACGAAGAAGGGACUUGAGCUUGUGCGACUUCCUUAUCGGUUUAAAUUUGAGAAACAAUUUAAAGAACCUUGCCAAGAGUGGCUGGAAAUGAUUGAAACAGUGUGUAAUGAAGUGCUGGGAAAUUACACCAAAAAAGAGGAUCAACUGAUGACUGCGGCCUUUGGCACCCGACCAAAGCGAAGGUUGAAUCGGGUGAUGGAUGCCUUGAACUUUGAAUACCCUGACUAUGAGCGAUUGAACAAGGGUGCCGAAGGGCAAAAGAGAAAGAGGAUUGUUAGUGUUCUGAGCAGACAAGCUGCUAGGAUGGUGAAAGAAGACGAAGAAGCUUUAAAAAAGAGAAAAUCCAGCCCUGAGCCGAAGGUGGCUGCUCCGAAGAAGAGAAAGGUUGCAGCUCCGAAGUCAGAAACAACUGAGAUAGAGGAAGAAACUCCUUCAACACCUUCUACUGUUGAUGUAGAAGAAAUUUUAAAGGUAAUGACCGAAUCUUUACCUAUCAAGCUGCUAAGUCCACUGGGGCCGCAUUUGACGAAGCUUUUACAGAAGAAGGAGGAACCUUCGGCAGCGAAGAAGGUGGUUGGGCUAAAAAGGCGAACAAUUGUGACUGUUAUAGAAGCUAUUGAGGAAACGCCACCGCCGGCCUCAGCGUCAAAAAUAACACCAGCUGCCGAAAUUGUUGCUUCUGUCGAAGCUGCUCCUACCGAAGCUGCUACUGCCGAAGCUGCGACUGCUGAAGAAACCAAUCUGAAGAGCACAUUAUCUGAUAUUGAUAGAAUGCUCUUGGAUAUGGCCGCAGAAGAAGCUGCUGCAGCCGUCAAAGAAACCCUGGCCACAGUGCCUAAAAAAGGGAAGGAAAUCGCCGAAGAUACUUCGGAGGAAAAAGGCUUCAACUUUCAAAAUAUAAUUGGUCAAGAAUUAUCUAAGGCUGAAAAAGAGGAGCUGCAGGAGUAUGCUAUAUCCUGUGGCUACCAGCCAGGAGCGUUGCUCUUCGACGGAAUUAACGAGGAAAGCUUAGGAUGCAUCAGAGAUCAAACUGGAGCGAAGGUUAUUAGCACUCUAUCGAAGAGUGUUGGUUUCUCGAAGCUUGAAGCUGACAUCAGUCGCUACCGACGACAGCAUAUCGGCGGCAGUUUAUUCUAUUCUAAUAUCAAUGUAAAAUUUUUCCUUCGGCUUUUCAUUGUUUUACGAUGAAGGUGAUUGCUGAUGAAGGUUAUUUUGCACAGAGCAUGCUACUAAGUAAAGCCAUGAGGAUGCAACAGGACCUCGAAGAUAAGAAAAAUGAGGUUAUAAUUGAAGGCUUGGAAAGCAAAAUCAAAGAUCAUGAAGCUGCUCUUGAAAAGAAAUAUUUUGUUCUUCAAACAAUGGAGGGUUCACUGGCAGAAGCCCAAGCUAAAAUUGCCAGAUUAAACAGUGAACUCCUCAUGAAGUCAGAAAACUUCGAGCAAGAAUAGAAGGAUUUUCAUGCGAAGCUCGAAGCCGAAGUCGAGAAGAGUUCAAAUUUGCAAAAAUCGUUGAAGGAGCUUCAGGAUAAAUGUCUAGACUUCGGCAACCGGUGCGUGCAACGGCUGAAGCAGGUCUUCAACUCAGUUGGAGCUAGUUCUAAAAAAUUUGAACCUUCGGUUGAAGACCUGCCAGGCACCUUCGAACUUAUUGAGGGCGAAGUUGAUGCGCUUGACGAAGUUAUAGUUGGGCACGGUGACUUCUGUGUAGCUCUGGGCAUAAAACCCGAGCCCGCAGUUCGAAGUCUAAAAUACCCGAGCCCAUACCCGUUUAUCCCGAAGUCCGAUGCCCGAACGGUUCUAGUGGGUAACGAAACGAAAUACCCGAUUUAAAUUUGGGCCUAAUAGGGUAAUACCCGCGUUACCCGAACUACCCAAUAAACCCGAAGUAUUACCGGCGUGCUAGAUUGCCAGCCGCCAAGCCAAUGACAGGCUGCGCGCACGACCCAGUAAUUCGAUGCACAGGCGCCCAACUAAGCAGCCCAGCAACCAAGCGUCUCGACAUGGACCGUGUCCAAGCCUAAAGCCUCCAAGGUCCAAACUUGAAGGCCCGUAGCAGCUAGUGGUACUGUCAUGUGGUGUCUAAACCAUAGUCGCUGGUCGUGACGCCGUUGUUUGACUCCUCGCCUCACCUCCAAUGGCCACCACCGCCCACUAGUGUAGACGUGCAAUGUUGUAGUGGUCUGCUACCUUGCUGCUCGCUUAAGUGCCUGGCGCCUAUGUUGACUGCUAAGUGGAACGCCUGUUCUGUACUGCCUUCCUGAGUUUCUAUACUGCCUUCCUGAGUUACUGCUGGACUAUGGCCUAUGGGCGUGUGGUUGUGUGCUUGCCUGCUUUUGCUUGGUUGGUUGUUGAUUGCCCGACUAUGGAUUUGAGUUGUGAUAAACUAAUAAUGUGAUGAUUUAUCUUUGUCAGGAAGACAGAAAUAGUCAAACAGAUGUGAUGCGCUACACUUUUGCUAUGUGAAAUUUUUUAAAACAAUAAAUGCUUGUUGUGCAGUUGUGAUGCCUAUUUUUUGUUUGCUGUUGGAAAUGGAAUGUACCACAGUGAACUAAAGCAGACAAGCAGUAACUAACCUAGUUGGUUUGAAAACGGGUAGAAUGGGCUACCCAAACCCGAGCCCGAAAAAUUCGGGUACCCGAAUUAACAGGUAUACAAUACAGUCACAUUGCAUUCGGGUAUCGUUUCUAAAAACCCGAAAUUUGGAAAGCCCAAAAAACCCGACCCGAAUUUUCGAGCUAACCCGAAUGCCCACAGGUACUUCUGUGCCUUGCUAGCUUCUCGCGGCACAGCUGUUGCUUUCAUGAAGACUGGUUGCACGCAUGGGAAAAUUGUAAACAGGCCAAACUUCAGCCUAUCGCCAGCGGAUUUAACUGACAUUCCUAGCCUGGCCCGAAGCAUUGGAAAUAGGUUUAUAACACAAAUCUGGACAAAGGGAGGGCAAAACUUAGCUGGUGACGAAGCUCGAAGUCAUCUCAAGCCGGUAAUACACUUGUACCUAUUGCUUACCUUCUCCUUGAGAUUUGUGUUUACCUUAUACCACUUUGUUGUGUACAGGAUGAUGAAGCCGAAGACCAAUGAUCCGAAGCAUGACGGAUAAUGAUGAAGUGACGAAGCUGCUGCAAAAAAACUCUAGAGAAAAUUUUGAAUUAACUUUGUAAAAGAUAUUGUAAUUUAUGAAUCAAACACUGCUCUGUAAAUUUGUCCAUACCCUGUAAUAUAUUUUUACCUUUCCAUCCAUGUAUGAACUGCUUUGAUGUGGACGAAACUUGUAUUUUUUGAGCCGAAGGCGAAAAACACCUUCCCUUCUUUUCGUACACAACGAAGCAUAACUAUGCUUGUUUAUGCUCAUCGAAGCCUUGUCAUCAGAACCGAAGCAUCUGUUUGUACUCUAUGUUAUGAUGAUGAUGAUCCUACGAAUGUCUAAAUGAAUGUGUAUGAAUGCAAUGAAUGAUGUGAUGUAAUCGUGCAAAUGAAUGUCCAAACACACGCUUACGAAGCCACACCCAGACUCUGCAUCCCCUUAGGAACGACUUUGGAGUCUUCUUCACCGUUUAUUUUUUGGUGUUCACCGUUGACUUUUCGGUGUAAGUUAUGCAUCCCCUUAGGAACGACUUUUGAACUUCUUCGCCUUCUAUUUCGGUGGUAUAAGUUCUGCAUCCCCUUAUGAACGUCUUUUGAACUUCUUCGCCUUAUAUUUCGGCGGUAUUUGGCUCUGGAUUCCCUUAGGAACGACUUUUGAGCAGAAAACUUAUGUUGUGCUCCCUUAGGAACGACUUUUUGCAGCUUCGUCGUGCUCUGCAUCCUCUUAGGGACGACUUUUGAGCUUCUCCCUGGUUUGUUUUUUUUCUUCUGCACUCGAUGGUGCAUGCUUAGAUUUUCAUUUUACAUUCUUUUGGCGGAUUUUUCUCUCAUAUAGCUAAAUAAGAAAGGAAAAAUUACAAGCCAUGGCCCCAUUAAAAACCUUUCUCCCCCUUUGGAAAGGAAAAGGGUGCCAUAGGAAAAAAUGAAAAAAGAUUACAUCAAAUUACACAUAAUAUUGUCGAAGCUCAUCCGCAUUCCAAGAUCUAGGAAUGUUGUUGUCGUCCAUAUCCUUCAAUCUGUAAGAACCAAGCCUUGACGAAGAUACCACCAGAAAAGGUCCUUCCCACUUCAGCUGUAGUUUGCCUAUUGUGUCCGGAUUGACCACUCUCCGAAGCACCAAAUGCCCUGGCUUAAUAUUUUUCAAUCGAACUUUUAUGUCUCGCUAUUUUAUUGUUUCGGCUUGAUAUUUAUUGAUGUUCUCCACAGCUUGAAGUCUGGUCCCUUCUAUAGUAUCUUUUGCUAUGUGAUAAUCAGCUUCGUCCUCUGCCGAAGCUGCUGUUCUUAUUGACCCUACUUUAGCUUCUUCUAGGGUUAUAGCUUCAUCACCAAAUAAUAAUUUGAACGGUGUGAAACCUGUUGAUCUUGAUAUGGUUGCAUUGUGGAUCCACACCACUUUAAUCAAUUCAUCUGGCCACUUUCCUCUGGGCUGAUUGAAGAUUAGCUUCAUUAUUCCCGACAUUAUAAUACCAUUCGCUCUUUCGACCAGCCCAUUUGACUUCGGAUGCCUAACUGAUGCAAAAUGAAUCUUCAUGCCAAUUUGAUCACAAAAAUCCUUGAACGUUUUGGCAUCAAAAUGUGUUCCAUUGUCCACAGUUAUAGCCUUCGGCACGCCGAAGCGACAAACAAUAUUUUGCAAGAAAAAUUUCUGGACUGUAACCGAAGUUAUUGUAGCUAAAGGCUUCGCUUCAAUCCACUUGGAGAAGUAUUCUACAGCUACCACAACAUAUUUUAAAUUACCUUGCGCUGGUGCAAGUGGGCCUAACAAAUCCAGGCGCCAUCUUUGCAAUGGCCAGGUGGGCUAUAUUAGCUGAGUGAGAGAUGAAGGUUGUUUCUGGUCUCUUGCACAUUUUUUACAAUUUUCACAUUUUUGAACUAACUCUGCUGCAUCCGAAGCUGCCUUCGGCUAGUAGAAUCCUUGUCUAAACACUUUUCCCAGCAAUGGCCUAGACCCAAUAUGAGAUCCACACAGACAUGCAUGUAUCUCCUUCAUUAAUUCAAUACCUUUAGCUCUUGAUAAACACUUGAGGAGUGGAGAACAGACUCCAUGUUUAUAUAAUUCUCCUUCUAUUAUCACAUAUGGUCUUGUCCUUGCUUCCAUUCUCUUAUUAUAAGCUUCGUCAUCUGAAAGACAAUUACCUUGGUGGAAAGAUAUAAUUUCAGUCCUCCAAUCUUCACUAUGUACUGGAGAAAUAACAAGCAUUGAUCUCUCCAUGAGUUCAACCAAAGGUGCCUUUAUUGUUUCAAAAAAUACUUCUGAAGGUAGAGGGAGCCCCUGAGCCGCUGAUUUUGCUAGUAGAUCUGCAUGCUCAUUUUCGCCUCUUGGAAUAUUCUUGACAGAGAAACCUUCGAAAGAAGCCUCCAACCUUCGAACUGUAUCCAGAUAUUUUUCAAGCUUCGGGUCUCUUGCCUUGCUACUUUUGUCUACAUGGCCAGAAAUGAGUUGAGAAUCAGUUUUCAGGAUGGCCCAUCUUAUUCCCAUUGCACUUAACUUCUAAAGCCCCAACAGAAGUGCUUCGUAUUCGGCAAUAUUAUUUGUGCAACUGAAGUCAAGCCUUGCUGCAUAACAUGUUUUGACUUUCGAAGGCACGACUAGGACAGCAGCCGCUCCUGCACCAAAGGUUCCCCAAGAACCAUCACAGAACACUAUCCAAGCUUCGACGUCUUUGUUUAUUUCUUCUUCCUGAGCCCCUGGCGUCCAAUCAGUGAUGAAGUCCGCUAACGCCUGGGACUAAAUUGAAGAUCUAUGCACAUAGUCAAUAGCAAAUUCAUUAAGCUCCGCAGCCCAUUUUCCAAUCCUUCCAGUAGCUUCUCUAUUCCUCAUUAUGUCCUUCAGAGGCUGUGACGAAGGAACAAUUAUGUGAUAUGCUUGGAAAUAAUGCGGAAGCUUCCUGGAGGCCAUUAACACAGCAUAUAACACCUUCUCCAAUUCUGUAUAAUUUUUCUUUGAUAAGCUUAAAACUUCGGAGAUGAAGUACACUGGAGCUUGCUUUUUGACUUGGCCAUCUAGCUUCUCCUGUACAAGCGCCACACUUACUACGGAGUGCAAAGCCGCCACAUAUAAGAGCAAUGGAGCCCCUGGUGCAGGUGGAGUUAGUGUUAUUAAAUCAAUCAAAUAUUGCUUCAGAUCUUCGAAGGCUUUUUGUUGAACCAAUCCCCAUUGGAAAACUUCGGCUGACUUCAAUAUUUCAAAGAACGGCAAAUAUCUUUCUGCUGAUCUAGAUAUGAAUCUAUUUAAUGAUGCCAGUCUUCCUGCCAGACGUUGGGCCCCCUUCUUUGUGCUUGGCGGCUCCAUCCGAAGAAUAGCUUCGAUCUUGCUUGGGUUGGCUUCAAUUCCCUUCGUUGAUACUAAACAGCCAAGGAACUUGCCCUUCUUCACCCCAAAACACAUUUUUCUGGAUUUAACUUCAGGCCAGCUUGCCUGAAAUUGGCAAAUGUCUCUUGCAAAUCAGCAAUGUGAUUUUCUUGCUUCGUGCUUUUCACUAUGAUAUCAUCAACAUAGGUCAGUACAUUCCUGCCUAUUUGAGAAUGAAGGACCUUGGUUGUCAUUCUGCUGAAGAUUCCUCCAGCAUUUUUAAGCCCCUCAGGCAUCCAAAGAUAGCAAUAUGUGCCACUAGGGGUUACGAAGCUAGUCUUUGGCUCAUCUUCCUUCUUCAUCCAGAUUUGGUAGUAGCCUGAGUAACAGUCCAGUAGACUCAUGAGCUCUGAAGAAGCUACUGCAUGUACUAGAGAAUUUAUUCUUGGCAAUGGGAACUCAUCUUUUGGACAAGCCUUGUUAAGAUCUGUAAAAUUAAUGCACAUUCUCCAUUUACCGUUGGCCUUCUUCACCAUAACAGUGUUGGCUAGCCACUCUGGGUAUUUUACUUCUCUGAUAACGCCGGCACUAAGAAGUCUCUUCACUUCGUUCCGAGCACCUUCAGCUUUGUCGUCGGACAUUUUCCGAAGCCUUUGUUUUCUUGGCCUGAAAGAUGGAUCCACGUUGAGUGAAUGUUCAAUGACAUCUCUGUUGACACCACAAAGAUCAUUGGCUGAUCAAGCAAAGACAUCUUUAUUGUUGAAUAGAAAUCUUAUCAAAGUCUUCUCUUGCUCUUCAGAGAGCUAAGACCCCAGCAGUACCUUUUGCUCUGCUAUAUCUUCACAUAGAAGCAUAGGCUUCGGCUGAUCCGCCGAAGUAGCCUUCUCUCUUUUGUAUUUGUACUGCUCACAGACUUCGGCUCCAUCUAUAUUAUAAAUUGCCUUUGAAUCUGACCAGUUUCCUUUAGCUUUUCUGGCAGCUUCUUGACUCACAUGGACAGCAAUGGGCCCUUGUUCCGAAGGUAUCUUCAUGCAUAGGUAUGCUAGAUGAAGUAUUGCUUCAAAAUCAUUAAGUGUUCCUCGACCAAUGAUUGCAUUAUAUGGGUACUCCAUGUCAACAAUGUCAAAGACAACCUGUUCAGUCCUUGUGUUGUGGACAAAGCCGAAGGUCACUGGCAUUGUGAUUUUGCUGAGCGCUACAAUUUGCCUUCCUCCGAAGCCACAUAGAGGAUGUGUAGCAUCAUGAAUCUUAUCCUCUGGUUCUUGCAUCUGUCUGAAGGCCUUAGCAAAUAUGAUAUCCGUUGCGCUGCCUGUAUCAACCAAAACAUUAUGGACCAGAAAUCCCUUGAUGACACAAGAUAUGACCAUAGCAUCAUUAUGAGGGUAAUCUUUGAGCUGAAGGUCCUCCUAGGAGAAGGUGAUUGGGAUGUGGGACCAUUUUGAUUUAAUGAAGGGUCCCUGCACCCCCAACAUGUUGUACCCUUCUCUGUGCUUCCUUCUUCUGUUUCUUGUUAGCCGACUCUGAACUUGAGCCACCUAUUAUCGGUAGCACCAGCUUCGUAGCCGAAGGUGCUUCGACGUGGUUUUUGAACGAAGCCAUCAGCUCAAAAGUGGAAGUGAAUUCACUGGAGGUGAGCGCCAAUGUUGGGACUUGUUCUCAAAUGCUAUGAAUUAAGAACAAGGCAACACAAAAAUAGGUGAAUGGUUAAUGCCCUUUGUCCUUCGAAGCAUUAUUUCCCUACGGAUAUAACGAUCUUCGGACGAAGGUUAUGAAGGACGUACCUUCAUCAUCACAGCAUAUAACAAUGAAAGACGAAGCAUAUGAAACAUGAGAAAUAACAUGGAUAAUCAUAUGGCAUCAAAAUAUAUCUUUUGUUAUAUAAUCAUGAAUGAAUAAGAACAAUAUUAAAUUACAUUUGUACCUUCGGCUUGACAAAAAUGCAAAGGUACAGGCGUGAUGCACAAGCGAUUACAAAUCAGCGUGAACAGUACAGGGGUACUGUUCGUCUAUUUAUAGGCACAGGGCGCAGCCUGUGUGAAAUUACAUUUAUGUCCUUUACAACUAGUUACAAUCAUGACACAAAUUAUCAUGGGCUGAUUGGUCUUUUCAUCUUUAAGUCGGUGCAACCCUUCGUCUCAAGGCAUGUCGCUUUGCCGAAGCUUCCUAGAUGGUAGCUUCGGUGUUGCUUCUGUGUUGAUCUUCCAAAGGUGUUUCUUCUUACAGGACCUUCGGCAACGAAGCAGACCCCCAACAACAUCAAGCUCCGAGUCGUUCGUCGCUUCUAAGCACCAUGAGCGCAAGAAGUAUAGUAAGAUGCCCUUACGCUAUCCUCGUAUUUCAAAGCAUGCUCCAUUACUUUUCGUUCCCCUAGGCAAACCACCAUAUUUUGAUGGUGAAGAUUAUUGUAUGUGGAGUGAUAAAAUGAGGCAUCAUCUAACCUCACUCCACGAAAGCAUAUGGGAUAUAGUUGAAUUUGGAGCGCAGGUACCACAGGUGGGGGACAAGGACUACGACUCGGACGAGGCCACCCAAAUACGUCACUUUAACUCCCAAGCAACUUCUAUACUCCUCGCCUCUCUAUGUUGAGAGGAGUAUAAUAAUGUGCAAGGGUUAAAGAUCGCCAAGGAAAUUUGGGACGUCCUCAAAACGGCGCAUGAAGGGGACGAGGUGACCAAGAUCACCAAGCGGGAGACGAUCGAGGGGGAGCUCGGUCAUUUUGUCCUCAACAAAGGAGAAGAGCCACAAGCAAUGUACAACCGGCUAAAAACCAUGGUGAACCAAGUGCGCAACCUCGGGAGCACCAAGUGGGAUGACCAUGAAAUGGUCAAGGUUAUUCUAAUAUCCCUUGUUUUUUGCAAUCCUACUCAAGUGCAAUUAAUUCAUGGGGAUCCUAGAUAUAAACUAAUGUCUCCCGAGGAAGUGAUAGGCAAGUUUGUGAGCUUUGAGCUAAUGAUCAAAGACUCCAAACAUAUUGUCAACUUGGAGCAAGGCGCCACCUCCACACCCGAGGUGCAACCGGUCGCAUUCAAGGCGACGGAAGAGAAGAAAGAGGAGUCUACAUCAAGUAGGCUUCCUAUCGACACCUCCAAGCUCGACAAUGAGAAAAUGGCGCUCAUCAUCAAGAGUUUCCGCCAAAUCCUAAAGAAAAGGAGAGGGAAAAACUACAAGUCCCACUCCAAGAAGGUAUGCUACCGGUGUGGUAAGUCCAGUCACUUUAUUGCUAAAUGUCCUAUAACUAGUGAAAGUGACAAGGACGACGACAAGAAGGAGAAGAAGGAGAAGAAGAGGUACUACAAGAAGAAGGGCGGCGAUGCCCACAUAUGUCGGGAACGGGACUCCGAUGAGAGCUCCACCGACUCCUCCUCCGACGAGGACACUGCCAACAUCGCCGAUAACAAGGGCCUCCUCUUCCCAACGUCGGCCACAAGUGUCUAAUGGCUAAGGACGGCAAGAAAAAGAAGGUACACUCUAGAGCCGCCCCAAAAUAUACAACAUCUAGUGAUGAGGGUAGCUCUAGUGAUAGUGAAGAUAAUUUAAUGUCUUUAUUUGCCAACCUUAGCAUGGACCAAAAGAAAAGGUUAAAUGAAUUAAUUGAAGCAAUUAAUGAGAAGGAUGAACUCUUGGGUAGCCAAGAGGACUUCCUAAUUAAAGAGAACAAAAAAUUUGUUAAAUUGAAAAAUGCUUAUGCUCAGGAAGUAGAGAAAUGUGAAAAUUUAUCUAAGGAGCUUAUCAUUUGUCAUGAUUCAAUUUUUAGCCUUAGAAAUGAAAAUGCUAGCUUAGUUUCUAAGGUCAAAGAAUUAAAUGUUUGCAAUGAUUCUGUUUCCUGUCUUAGAGAUGAGAAUGCUAGAUUAAAAUCUAAGAUAGAAGAAUUAAAUGUUUGCAAACCAUCUACAUCUACUGUUGAGCAUGUUUCCAUUUGCACUAGAUGUAGAGAUAUUAAUGUUGAAGCUAUAGAUGAUCACCUUGCCAUGAUUAAGAAACAAAAUGAUCAUAUAGUUAAAUUAGAUGCUAAAAUUGCCGAGCAUGAGCUCGAAAAUGAAAAUUUUAAAUUUGCUCGUAGCAUGCUUUAUAAUGGGAGACGCUCUGGCAUCAAGGAUGGCAUUGGUUUCCAACAGGAGAGCAAUGUCAAACUUAAUGCCCCUAAAAGAUUGUCUAUUUUUGUUAAGGGCAAGGCUCCCAUGGUUCAGGAUAAAAAGGGUUACAUUUUAUAUCCUGCUAACUAUCCUGAGCACAAAAUUAGGAAGAUUCAUUCAUGCUAGGAAACCUCAUAAUGUUUCUCAUCAUGCAUUCAUGUAUAAAAAUGAGGCUUCUAGUUCUAGGCAUACCACUCACAUUAAAAUGCCUAAAAAGAAAAUUCCUACUACAUCAAAUGAGCAUAAUGUUUCAUUUAAGACUUUUGAUGCAUCAUAUGUUUUAACUAACAAAUCAGGCAAAGUACUUGCCAAAUAUGUUGGGGGCAAACACAAGAGUCCAAAGACUUGUGUUUGGGUACCCAAGGUGCUUGUUUCUAAUGUCGAAGGACCCAAGACUAUUUGGAUACUUAAGAAUAAAGCCUAAAUUGUUUUGUAGAUUUAUGCAUCCGGUGGUUCAAAUUGGAUAAUCGAUAGCGGGUGCACAAACCACAUGACAGGGGAGAAAAUGAUGUUCUCCUCCUAUGAGAAAAAUGAAGAUCCCCAACGAGCUAUCACAUUCGGGGAUGAAAAUCAAGGUUUGGUCAAAGGUUUGGGUAAAAUAGCUAUAUCUCCUGACCGUUCCAUUUCCAAUGUUUUUCUUGUAGAUUCUUUAGAUUAUAAUUUGCUUUCUGUUUCUCAAUUAUGUAAAAUGGGCUACAACUGUCUUUUUACUGAUAUAGGUGUUACUGUCUUUAGAAGGAGUGAUGAUUCAAUAGCUUUUAAGGGAGUGCUAGAGGGCCAGCUAUACUUUGCUUAAUUGCUAAGACUAUCAUGGGUUGGCUCUGGCAUCGCCGACUAGCCCAUGUUGGGAUGAAGAAUCUCCACAAACUUCUAAAGGGAGAACACAUUUUAGGACUAACAAAUGUUCAUUUUGAGAAAGACAGGUUGUGUAGCGCAUGCCAAGCAGGAAAGCAGGUUGGAGCCCAUCAUCCACACAAGAAUAUCAUGACGACUGACAGGCCACUCGAGCUACUCCACAUGGAUCUAUUCGGCCCGAUAGCUUACAUAAGCAUCGGCGGGAGUAAGUACUGUCUAGUUAUUGUGGAUGAUUAUUCUCGCUUCACUUGGGUGUUCUUUUUGCAGGAAAAAUCACAAACCCAAGAGACCUUAAAGGGAUUCUUAAGACGGGCUCAAAAUGAGUUCGAACUAAGGAUAAAAAAGAUAAGAAGCGAUAAUGCGACGGAAGGUUUUCUUGAGGAAGAGGGCAUCAAGCAUGAGUUCUCUUCUCCCUACACACCUCAACAAAAUAGUGUAGUGGAGAGGAAGAAUAGAACUCUACUGGAUAUGGCAAGAACCAUGCUUGAUGAGCACAAGACACCAAACCGGUUUUGGGCCGAGGCGAUUAACACUGCCUGCUACUCCAUCAACCGGUUAUAUCUUCACCGAAUCCUCAAGAAGACAUCAUAUGAACUCCUCACUAGUAAAAAGGCUAAUGUUUCAUAUUUUAGAGUCUUUGGGAGUAAAUGCUUUAUUCUUGUUAAAAGAGGUAGAAAAUCUAAAUUUGCUCCUAAAGCUGUAGAAGGCUUUUUACUUGGUUAUGACUCAAACACAAGGGCAUAUAGAGUCUUCAACAAAUCCACUGGAUUAGUUGAGGUUUCUUGUGACAUUGUGUUUGAUGAGACUAAUGGCUCCCAAGUGGAGCAAGUUGAUCUUGAUGAAUUAGAUGAUGAAGAGGCUCCGUGAGUCGCGCAAAGGAACAUGUCCAUUGGGGAUGUGUGUCCUAAGGAAUCCGAAGAGCCUCCACAAGCACAAGAUCAACCAUCAUCUUCCAACCAAGCAUCUCCACAUACCCAAGAUGAGGAUCAGGCUUAAGUUGAUGAAAAUGAAGAUCAAGAGAAUGAGCCACCUCAAGAGGAGGACAAUGAUCAAGGGGGAGAUGAAGAAAAUGAAGACAAGGAAGAUGAUCAAGAAAUUCAGGGUCAAAGACCGCCACACCCAAGAGUCCACCAAGCAAUUCAACGAGAUCACCCCGUCAACUCCAUCCUUGGUGACAUUCACAAGGGGGUAACCACUAGAUCUCGAGUUGCUCAUUUCUAUGAACAUUACUCUUUUGUUUCCUCUAUUGAGCCAUACAGGAUAGAGGAUGCGCUAAGAGAUCCGGAUUGGGUGCUUGCAAUGCAAGAUGAGCUCAACAACUUCACAAGGAAUAAGGUAUGGUAUUUAGUUACACGUCCUAAUCAAAAUGUUGUAGGUACCAAGUGGGUAUUCCGCAACAAGCAAGAUGAGCAUGGUGUGGUGACAAGGAACAAAGCCCGACUUGUGGCCAAAGGUUAUUCACAAGUCAAAGGUUUGGACUUUGAUGAAACUUAUGCACCCAUAGCUAGGCUUGAGUCAAUUCGUAUAUUACUUGCCUAUACUACUUACCAUGGCUUUAAGUUUUACCAAAUGGACGUGAAAAGUGCCUUCCUCAAUGGACCAAUCAAGGAAGAGGUCUAUGUUGAGCAACCUUCCGGCUUUGGAGAUAGUGAGUACCCUAACCAUGUGUAUAAGCUCUCAAAGGCGCUUUAUGGGCUCAAGCAAGCCCCAAGAGCAUGGUAUGAAUGCCUAAAAGAUUUUCUUAUCACUAAUGGCUUCAAAGUCGGUAAAGCUAAUCCUACUCCUUUUUACUAAAACUGUUGCAAAAGAUUUGUUCGUAUGCCAAAUUUAUGUUGAUGAUAUUAUAUUUGGAUAUACUAACAAAUCAACUUGUGAAGAGUUUAGUAGGAUCAUGAUACAGAAAUUCGAGAUGUCUAUGAUGGGGGAGUUGAAGUAUUUCCUUGGAUUCCAAAUCAAGCAACUCCAAGAGGGCACCUUCAUCAGCCAAACAAAGUACAUUCAAGACAUACUUAAGAAGUUUGGGAUGAAGGAUGGCAAACCCAUCAAGACUCCCAUGGCAACAAAUGGGCAUCUCGACAUUGACACGGGAGGUAAAUCCGUAGAUCAAAAGGUAUACCGGUCGAUGUUAGGAUCUUUACCCUAUUUAUGUGCAUCUCGACCGGAUAUUAUGCUUUCUGUAUGCAUGUGUGCAAGGUUCCAAGCCAAUCCUAAGGAAGUUCACCUUAGGGCCGUGAAGAGAAUCAUGAGGUAUUUAGUUUACACUCCUAAGUUUGGGCUUUGGUUCCCCAAGGGAUCCACUUUUGAUUUAAUAAGAUAUUCUGAUGCCGAUUGGGCAGGGUGUAAAAUUGAUAGAAAGAGCACAUCAGGUACUUGUCAGUUUCUAGGAAGAUCCCUGGUGUCAUGGGCUUCAAAGAAACAAAACUCAGUAGCUCUUUCCACCGCCGAAGCCGAGUAUAUUGUCGCAGGCCAUUGUUGUGCGCAAUUACUUUGGAUGAGGCAAACCCUCAGGGACUAUGGCUACAAAUUGAGCAAAGUCCCUCUCCCAUGUGAUAAUGAGAGUGCAAUCCGCAUGGCGGAUAAUCCCGUUGAACACAGCCGCACUAAGCACAUAGACAUUCGGUAUCACUUUCUGACAGAUCACCAACAAUGGGGGGAUAUCGAAAUAGCUUAUGUAAUCACCAAAAAUCAAUUAGCCAAUGUCUUUAUGAAGCCAUUAGAUGAGAAAACCUUUAGCAAACUUAGGAAUGAGCUAAAUAUACUUGAUUCUCGGAACUUUGAGUGAAACAUUGCACACAUAGCUCAUUUAUAUACCUUGAUCAUGUCUCUUUCAUUGUGGUACAAAUGCAUAUUUCUUAUUAUUCUUGUACCAAGACUAUGACUAAUGUGUUUCCAAGUGUAUUUCUAUACUAAGUCGUAGAUUGAAAGGGAAAUGGAGUAUUCGGCAAAGACAAGGCUUCCACUCCAACUCUGACGGUAUCAUUUACACUUUGUUGUUACUCCCACACAUCUCUCAAAUUGGUAUAAUCUUUCACUCAUAUAUCUUUUACCAAUGGGGGAGAAAGUAUGAAAGGGCUCUCAAAGUCUCCGUUUUUGGCGAUUAAUGCCAAAGGGGGAGAGAAUAUUAAGCCCAAAGCAAAAGGACUGCACCACCACCAUUUCAAAAAAAUUCGAAAUCAAGUUUUAAUUGGCAUUUGUUAAUUUGUAUUUAUGCUUCACUUAAGUUGUGAAAAUAAAAUAUCAAUUGGUAUAUAAUUUACAAUUAAUUCUUCAAUUGGUAUCUUUAAAAGUCAAAUUUUCAAAUUGGUAUCUAUUUCAAAACCCUCUUGAAAGCUAAGAGGAGAAUUUCAUUUAGGGGGAGUUUCAUUUAGUCAAAGAAAAACAUUUGAAAUAGGGGGAGAAAUUUCAAAUCUUGAAAAUGCUUCUCGCAAUCUUAUUCAUAUACCUUUGACUAUUUGAAAAAGAUUUUCCAAAAUUAUUUGCAAAAACAAGUGGUGCAAAUGUGGUCCAAAAUAUUAAAUAAAAGAAAAGCAAUCCAUUCAUAUCUAGUGAGAUUAUCAAUUGGUUUAAUUCCAAGUAACCUAUGCACUUACCAUAUGCAAACUAGUUCAUUUCUGCACUUUAUAUAUUUGCUUUGGUUUGUGUUGGCAUCAAUCACCAAAAAGGGGGAGAUUGAAAAGGAAAUAGGGUUAACCUUUUCCUACAAUUAAUUUUGGUGGUUGAAUGUCCAACACAAACAUAUGGACUAACUAGUUUGCUCUAGAACUCAUGUAUUACAGGUGCAUAAGGUUCAACACAAACCAAUAAAAGAUUCAAGUUAGGGAUUAAAUUGAUCCGGAGCAAAGUCUUGAGUGUGUUGUGGUUUGGCGCACCGGACAGUGUCCGGUGCACCAUGCCCGUAUGAAAGGGAAAUAGGGUCAAACCUUUUCCGAAAUAAUUUUGGUGGUUGAAUUGCCCAACACAAAUGAUUGGACUAACUAGUUUGCUCUAGAUCAUACAUUCUACAGGUGCCAAAGGUUCAACACAAAUCAAUAAAAAGAACAAGUUAGGCUUCAAAAGAAAGGAGCAAAAAGGAAACCGAAGUGUGCCCUGGUCAGGCGCACCGGACUGUCCGGUGUGCCACCGGACAGUGUCCGAUGCACCAUCGGACAGUGUCCGGUGCAUCAAGGUGAAUCAACUCCAACUCCACAGCUUCAGGUUUCCCAGGCGCAGCUCCGAUAAUUCACCGGACUGUCCGGUGUGCCACCGGACUGUCCGGUGCACCAGCGGAGCAACGGCUAUCUGCGCGCAACGGUCGACUCUGUCGGAUGAACAGUGCAGCACAGUAACACAGCAGAAGUCAGAGCAGCAGGUCAUAGGGGCACUGGACUGUCCGGUGCCACAUGAGGACAAAGCCUCCAACGGUCGACCAGCUCCAAGCCCUAACGACAGGGUGACGUGGCGGCACACCGGACACUGUCCGGUGCGCCCAUCGCCAGCAGCCUUCUCCAAUGGCUACAAUUUGGUUGGUGGCUAUAAAUACCACCCCAACCGGCCACUUCAAGGGGUGGGAGCCCAAGCAACAUUCCAAGUCAUAUAGUUGACAUAUUCAAGCCCUCCCAACCACCUCUAUUCAUUGAUCCAUCCUAUACACAAGAUUUAGACCACUACAACGCACACAAGUGCCACAAAAGAGAGAGCAAGCAAAAGAAAAUCUCUCGUGUUAGUUUAGCUCUAGUGCCUUGUGAGAUUCAUUGAGAGAAAGUGUGUGCUUCAUUUUGCGUUCAUUUGUGCGUGGAGUUUUGACUCCCAUUGAACUUCCUCCAAAGUUUUGGAGGCUUGUAAAGCUAGCAAGAGACACCUAAGUGUGUGGUGAUCCUUGCGGGGUCUUAAGUGAUCCUUGAGAAGAAGAAGAGCUCGCCGAUCUUGGGAUCGGUUGAGAGAGGGAAAGUGUUGGGGACCUUCGGCGUCCGAAGGUCCUCAAAAACAGGAUUUAACAGUAUUUCUGUAGUACAAUGUGUGAACAGGUACCCUCGGACUAAAGUCGGCAUUGCAGUAGACCGGAAUAAUACAAAGCUUGAUACAGAGCCGAAGGUGUUGAGCAGGAAAGCUUCGGCGUAACAGCAAAGAGUGGAACCGACUUAAAGAUGAAAAGGCUAUUCAGACCUCGAUAGACUACUAUAGAGUUAUUAUCAAAUGUAAAGGGCAUGAAUGUAAUUUUGUAAGGGCUGUGUCCCGUGUCUAUAAAUAGGUGAACAGUAUCCCCGUACUGUUCACGCUGACUUGGCAUUCGCUUUUUGCGUCACGCUUGUACUGUCAUUUCCUUCCGAUUGAAGGUACACUUGUAGUUCAAUAAUAUUUUUGUUUAUGCUCAAUAAUAAUAAAUGAUUGUUCCUGUUUUCUUUUACAUUCUUUAUAUUUCAUCCUUCGUCAUUGUUUGAAUUUAUGAAGGUAUGACCUUCAUAACCUUCGUCCGUAAGUCAUUAUAUCCUAGGGGAAAUAAUGCUUCGGAGGACGAAGGGCGUUAACGAUUAACAUUUUCUAUGUUGCCUUGUUCUUAACUAUUAGCACUUGAGAACAAGUCCCCAACAUUGGCGCCCACCUCCGGUGAACUCACUUCCAUUUCUUGAGCUUUUCAACACCUUCGACAAGCAUCACCUUCGUCAUGCCGCCGAAGAAGGCUUCAGCACCAGGGGCUGGCACGCUGCAGCCGCUGGACCCCAAUCAAGACGUCCUUUCUCUUAGAGAGGCACGAAGCCAGAAGAGGAAGGCUACCAGUCCAACACCUCCGGAGGAUGAUCUAGAUCAGGAGAUUCAAAAUCUGGAAAUCCUUCAGCAGCAGGUUCAACGCAAGAAGGAGAAGAUGGCCAGGCUAGCUGAACUGCAGAGGCAGAUAGAUGAAGCCUCUGAAAAAGUUCGUCAUCUUGCUCAGGAUGAGCAACACCGAAGGCCUCAGCAUCAAGACCUUCAUCAGGAGGGCUUUCCCAACGAAGAUGACUGGUAUGACAAUUUCCAUCAUGGGAAUUUUGUUUUUGAUGAUGCUUCUCCCCUGUCCGCUGAGUUACAGGCUACACCUUGGCCUCCGUCCUACAAGCCGCCUCAGCUCCCCGUAUUUGAUGGCCACUCAGACCCGAAGCAGUUUUUGAUGAGCUACGAAGCAACAGUGUCUUCGUACGGUGGCAAUGCUUCAGUCAUGGCCAAAUCUUUCGUUAUGGCUGUCAGAAGUGUUGCUCAAACCUGGUAUUCCUCCCUUCGACCAGGAACGAUCACUUCAUGGCAGAAGCUGAAGGAUUUGUUGUUAACCAGCUUUCAAGGAUUUCAGACGAAGCCGGUCACUGCUCAGGCUCUGUUCCAGUGCACUCAGGACCACGAAGAAUACCUUCAGGCAUAUGUCCGAAGGUUCUUGCGUCUGAGGGCACAGGCACCAACGGUGCCCAAUGAAAUUGUCAUCGAGGCCAUGAUCAAGGGGCUUCGGCCAGGUCCGUCAGCUCAGUACUUCGCCAGGAAGCCUCCUCAAACUUUGGAGAAGCUUCUCCAGAAAAUGGAUGAAUACAUUCGGGCCGACAAUGAUUUUCGCCAAAGAAGGGAGGAGGCUUUCAGGUUUUCUGAAAUGACCAGGGGCUUCGGAGGGAGGUUUUACCCGAGGCAUGUGAGAUCAAUUCACAAUUCUACACAAAAUGAUGACAGAGGAAGCCAACAACAAAGGCCACAAUGCUCCUCACAGGCUUCUGGACAACAGCAAAGCUCCUUCCGGCCACCAGCUCCAAGAGGCAGAGGCGCCAGGGGCUUCGGAGGAAGAUUUGGCGAUCAACCGAGAAGAAUCUUUUGCUUAUUCUGCGGUGAGAACAAAGGCCAUACUACCAGGAUGUGCCAUGUUACUAUACAGAAGCAAAAGGAAAUAGCUGAAGCAGCAGCACAACAAGCCCAGCCGAAGCAGGUCAUGCAUACAGCUUCGUAUCAUUCGCCCUACAUCCCAGAAUAUGUGGGCAACCAUCCUGCAGUCUCUGCUGCUUCGGCGAGUCAGCCUCAAGCUUCCUGGCAACAGCCUCCGCCUCCACCUCCGUUGCAACAAGGCCAGCAGCCAGAAGGGAGCCAAUAUGCUCCGCAUCAAAGGGACUUCAGAGAACAGUCCGAAGCUCGCACGGUCAAUAGCACUGUGCCAGAAUCAAAGCACAUCUAUUGACAAAUAUCCUACCUUAAUAGCAAUCUUUUUCAUUCAGUUUUAUUUUCUGUAAUAAAGGACAUUGUUUAGGUUUUAUGUAAUUAGUUUCGUUGAUUCCUACAAGAGAAAUAUGUUUUCUUCACAGGCUUGUGAUAAUAAAAAGGACCUUCGGACUAUCGAAAAUUCUUCGAAGCAACAAAAAGUCGUUCUAAGGAACGUAGAGUAAGUUUGACGAAGUCACAAAAAGUCGUUCCGAAGGGAGCGCAGUGUAAGUUUUCUGCUCCAAAGUCGUUCCAAAAGGAAUGCAGAGCAUACAGCGAAAAGUCAACGCUGAUACCGCCUAAGUAAAAGGCGAAGAAGCUCCAAAGACGUUCCUAAGGGAAUGCAGAGCUUACAGCGAAAAGUCAACGCUGAUACCGCCUAAGUAAAAGGCGAAGAAGCUCCAAAGACGUUCCUAAGGGAAUGCAGAGCUUACAGCGAAAAGUCAACGCUGAUUCCGCUGAAGUAAAAGGCGAAGAAGCUCCUAAGGGAGGCUUAUAGCGAAAAGUCAAUGCUGAUUCACAAAAAGAUUAUGUGUUUUAUCGCGCAAAUAUGCGUGUAUCUUCGGAAUAUCACCUUACAUAGCAUAGCAUCAUCACAUCAUCUUUGCAUAACAUAAGCAUCAUACAUCAUACUGCAUGUGGCAUAAGGAAAUAUGAUAUCAAUCUUCGGAAAAACGCUUUGAAAAAGGGGCAAAUCAUGCCAAGUAACAAGGAGAAACAAUAUUGAUCUCUGAAGUAUAGCCUUGAAGAAUGUUUCUACGAAGCUUCAAAACUUUCCAGGAUACUUCGGAUAUUGUUGUGAUAAAUGGUAAUUCUUCUUCACGAAGCAUGAAAAGAAGGGAAGGUGUUUUUCGCCAAAGACUCAAAAAAGGUACGUAUGUAAAGUUUCAUGCAUCGUAAAGAAUUGAACCAUAAAGAAAAAUAAAACAAAUAUGUUACAUACAGGAUUACAAGAUAUUACACAUGUUACAUUUAAAAUGUUUUUACAAUAGCAUCUAGUCUUCCCUAAGUACCACUUCUGCAGCUUCGUUCAACAGUCGAUCGACAACUUCAUCCAUAAUAGCUUCAGCCAUCUUUUUAAUCUCAUCGUCACCCUUAGGCCGUGCACCCGGAGAUACUUCAGUAGGAUCUGAGGAAGGACAGGACACGGCUACUUUGCUAUUACAAAUCAUAAACAAAUCUUAAAGCCUAAGAUUACAACACGAUAAAAACUAUUAGUUGAUACCUAAUUGACCUUCGGCCUCUGCGCUCUUUUUAGCAGCCUCAGCUACUUCUCUAGCAUCGUGAAUCCCCUUUUCACUUCUUCGAAUAAUUUCUCCGGCCAUCUCUCGGCCACCAUUAUCCCAGAUAUUAGUAAAAAACUUUCCACCAAUUAUACUAGCUUCGGCCGAAGGAUCUUUUGUAUCUUCAAAGGACAAAGCAGCUUCGGACUGUGCUAAAAUUUUUACAUGUUCACAGCCCUCCUUCUCUAAGAUAGUGGCAAUCCCUCUGGCGCCAGAGAAGGCACAUAUAUCUCCUCGGCUAUUUAAAAUUUCUUCAAAGGCUUCGGCUUCGUGGUUAAUCCAUUCGAUGACACCUUCGGGAUUGCCUCUUGAAAAGUUUUCCUCACUUGAGAAUGCGCCGACCUUGGCGAAGCUAGCCUUUAAUUUCUUGACACAAUCUAUAGAUUUAUUGUAGCAUCUCUUUUUGGACGAACGAAGCUCUUCAACAGUCACUUCUAGGUGAUCUGCCCAUUGAUCGCUGAGUUCACGCUUUGUUUCUUCAAGUAUGCGUUCUUCCUUGGCUCUGGCCAGUUGUUUCCGAAGGUCUUCAAUUUCGCGUUUCUGAGCUUCAGCUUGAAUUUUAAAAGCAGCUUCGUCCUCUUUUAUUUUAUUUAUCAAUGAGUAUAAUAUUUUGUCUUUUUCGAGACCUUCGUUCCUCAGUUCAAUUACUUCGGAACGAAGGUUGCUCAGGGCUAUUGUACACCCUUCGUCUUCAGCAUCUUUCUGUGCUCUAAGAGCAUUGCUAAGUAUCAAGCCCUGCAAAAAGAAAUAUGUGUGUGUGUCAGUGGGUUUAAACGAACAGAAAAAUACAAGGAUUUCAUAUAUCGUACCUUUAAGCUAUUGUAAGCCAGGCUGUCGGCCAGAUCGUUCUUCGACAGCACUGAGAGCCCGUCUUCUAAAGUCGGGAAUCCGAAGCUCUUGCUCAUCUCCCGGCAGACAGAAAUUUCCUUGCUGUCGGGAAGACAAUACAAGAAGUCUUCUUCUCCACUGCCAUUAAAUAUUAACGCCCCCUUUGGAUAUUUCAGUUUUUGGGCAUAAUGCUGGGCCUCUUGUUCUUCUUUUUCUGAUAAUUUUUUCCCCGAAGCAUGACGGAAAAUAUAAUCACGAAUUUUGGGGGAUGCUUCGGGGGCAACAACACCGGUUUCUUCAACAAAAGUUGGCUUUGUUAUUUUUUCUGCCUCACUUUCCAAAGGUUUUCCCUUUACGGGCUCUGAGGGCCCAGCUUCGGCUUCAGCCCCUUGCUCUGGGAUUGUAGAACCAGAAGUUUCAACUGUUGUUUCAGGAGUAACAGCAGCCUUCUUCGGAGGUGUGCUCAAAGAUUUGAUCGUUUCUAGUACAUCUAGCACAUUAGCCAUUCUCUUUCUCUUCGGAGUUACGGCUGGCACUUUUUCAUUUUUUGCUGUCCCAAUGAUUGCUGUAGGACUCAAAACUUCUGAUGUUUUGGAGCCCUCAGUUGUUUCCUUUAUCUCUUCCAUUUUUUCUGUGAAUGGCGCUUCGGCCUUCUCUUUCGUUUCUGGUAACAAAAUCUUUGAUUGCUCCAAUUUUGUCUUUGUUGGCACUUCGGCCGUUUCUGCGACUUCUGGCAGCAAAGUUGGCUCGGCUGGUUUUUUUAGCUUCGGUGGCCGAAGAAGUUUCUCCGGUAAACUCAGGCACCGAAGCUGGUUCAAUAUAGCGCGGCCGAUGCGUGAGAACCUUUAUCUUCUUCCUUUUCGGUUCUGGCUCGCUAGGAGCAGCUGCAGUUUCUUCUUUUGCAGAGGUUGUGUUUUUUCUUUUCUGCCUUCGGGUGGGAUAGCAAUAGUCAGGGUAGACAAACCCAAUAGCAUCAAAUACCCGAUUCAGCCUCUUCUUUUUUCGGCCUCCGAAGGCUGCUGACAUUGCAGUAUCUUCGGCCUUCGAGUAGGUACCAAGCAGCUCAUCACUUAAAUUAUCAAUGCUUUUCAACCACUCAUCAUCUGGUUCAAUAAAUUUAUCUCCAAACUUAAAAGUGUACUUAAACCUGACAAGUCCACCUUCGUCGGCCUCUUUAAUGGUUUCUUGUGGCAUUUCCCAUUUCUCUGCAAGCGGCCACACCCUGAAAGCGAUGUGCUCUUGUACUAAGUCCCUUGUUCCUAUAAAAGAACAGACAAUGCCGAAGGCUCUCUGGCAUUCUUCGGCAGCUUCAUUCAUUUCAACCUUCGGCCUGCGAAGGCCGAAGCUUUGCCAAAUAGGGCGCAUAAUUAUACCCUUGAUAUCUUCUCGUGCUUUCAGAUCAUUUUUUACAUAGAACCAUUCUGUCAUCCAGCCGCUGGGCCAUCUUUUCCGAAAAGUUGGCACGGGGCAGCUUGAUCCAGACCGAGAAACAAAAUUGUAGCAGCCAAAGUUAUUGUGAUACUGUUCCUUACCCCAAGGUAUUGUCUCGUAUGAUAAUUCGUGCAUAUUGCAGAAACUUUUUGCAUCAGGCUUCAGACCUUGGCUUCGCACGGCCCACACAAAGAUAUUCAGCCUUAUGAUUGCCUCGGGGGUAAGUUGGUGAAGAUAGACUUCAAAAAUCUUCAGCACCUCCACGUCGAAGCUGCUCAAGGGCAAUCGCAGCCCAGCCUUCAAAAAGCUUCGGAACACUACGACUUCAUUCUCUUCGGGGUGUGGACAAGUCUUCUCCCCUUCGUCGGCCCUCACAACGGACAAAUCCCGGAAAUACCUUCCUCUCAUGUUAACAAGAUGAUUCUCUUUGAUAGUUGAUUUACCAUAAACUGAAUGGCUUGGUCGCCAGGGGCGAUCUUCGGAGUCUUCGCCACCACUGUCCACAUCAUAACUUUCACUGUCACCAGUAUCUUCAGACAGCCCUUCUAGAAUCUCCUUGGUGAUUUUUUCUGUGUUGGUCUUCGACAUCGCUAUAAGAAAUCCUAAGUUCUUCUCUUCAUCAAGACUCAGCUUCAUCUCAGCAGCAGCCUUCUUAGCAGCUUCAGACAUCUUCGGAAACACUAAAAAACUGUUUUCAAAGUCGAAGCUUCAAAGCUGAAAGCUUAGCAAAUCACAGCGCACAAGAGCUAAAAAUUGAGUGAGCGGGAGUGGUUGGCCAGAAAGCGUGCAAAAUGAGUUUGCGGUAUGGCCGUAUUUAUACGCUCGGUGCGUUGAAAGUUGAAAGACCCCACUUGUCAUUGAAUGUUGCUAUUCUAGCAAAGGGAAGGUGUUUUUUCGGACCUUCGGCGUAAAGCCUUCGUCCAUAUCGCAAUCUAAAUUUAUUAUUUCAAACAAAUUAAUAUUGCGAGGGGCUACUGUUGGGGACCUUCGGCGUCCGAAGGUCCUCAAAAACAGGAUUUAACAGUAUUUCUGUAGUACAAUGUGUGAACAGGUACCCUCGGACUAAAGUCGGCAUUGCAGUAGACCGGAAUAAUACGAAGCUUGAUACAGAGCCGAAGGUGUUGAGCAGGAAAGCUUCGGCGUAACAGCAAAGAGUGUAACCGACUUAAAGAUGAAAAGGCUAUUCAGACCUCAAUAGACUACUAUAGAGUUAUUAUCAAAUGUAAAGGGCAUGAAUGUAAUUUUGUAAGGGCUGUGUCCCGUGUCUAUAAAUAGGUGAACAGUAUCCCCGUACUGUUCACGCUGACUUGGCAUUCGCUUUUUGCGUCACGCUUGUACUGUCAUUUCCUUCCGAUUGAAGGUACACUUGUAGUUCAAUAAUAUUUUUGUUUAUGCUCAAUAAUAAUAAAUGAUUGUUCCUGUUUUCUUUUACAUUCUUUAUAUUUCAUCCUUCGUCAUUGUUUGAAUUUAUGAAGGUAUGACCUUCAUAACCUUCGUCCGUAAGUCAUUAUAUCCUAGGGGAAAUAAUGCUUCGGAGGACGAAGGGCGUUAACGAUUAACAUUUUCUAUGUUGCCUUGUUCUUAACUAUUAGCACUUGAGAACAAGUCCCCAACAGAAAGGGUUGAAAGAGACCCGUCCUUAGUGGACUCCUCAACGAGGACUAGGCCUUCAAGGGCCGAACCUCGGUAAAACAAAUCACUCGUGUCUCGUGUGUUUAUUGCUUUGUGAUUUGUUUGUUCUCUCUCUUUCUAAGUUCUCUUGCUCUACUCUUUGCUAACAUUAUUUUGUGUUGCUUCAAGUCAAAUUCUCAUUUAGAGAAGCAACUCAUUGCAAGAAAGAACUUGUGUUUAUCUUCUUCUUAACUAAGCCCUCUUGCAUUAUUUUCCACUAACAUUUCUAAUAUUAUUGUUAUUGAUUAAAUUCCGCACUAUUUGAAAACAAUACUCAUUGCAAGCAAAGGACUUAGUUUUAUACUUCGAUAAUUGUGAAUCUUGUUCUAACCACUAAUCAACGGAUCUAGUUUGGAUUUAGUAUUAUAAUUUUCAGGUUUCGCCUAUCCCCCCCCCCCUUUAGGCGAUUUUCAAUUGGUAUCGGAGCUAAGCACUUCAUAUUGAGUCUAACAACUCGAAGUGAUGGCUCGUAGAAGAUCCCAAAAGAACAAGAAGACCAAGGAGAACAAGGAGGUAACUCUUGAGAUAUUACUUCCCGAUUGUUCUAAUUAUGAUUCAUGGUCUACUAGGGUGAUAAAUGCCCGUAUAAAUCUGGAGCAGCCACUCUCAGGAAAACGCAGGCGCACUCCGCUAUAAUUCACUGGACUGUCCGGUGUGCCACCGGACUGUCCGGUGAGCCAGCGGGGUAAUGGCUACCUGCACGCAACGGUCGACUCUGACAGCGCUACAGUGUCGCGGCAGAAGUCAGAGCAGCGGGUCAGAGGGGCACCAGACUGUCCGGUGAUUCAAGUUAGGGAUUAAAUUGAUCUGGAGCAAAGACUUGAGUGUGUUGUGGUUUGGCGCACCGGACAGUGUCCUGUGCACCAUGCCCGUACAAAUCCGAAGCACCCACUCUCGGGAAAACACAGGCGCACUCCGCUAUAAUUCACCGGACUGUCCAGUGUGCCACCGGACUGUCCGGUGAGCCAACGGGGUAAUGGCUACUUGCGUGCAACGGUCGACUCUGACAGCGCUACAGUGUCGCGGCAGAAGUCAGAGCAGCGGGUCAGAGGGGCACCGGACUGUCCGGUGCCACAAGCAGACAAAGGCACCAACGGUCAACUGCUCCAGAACCCUAAUGGUUGGGUGACGUGGCGGAACACCGGACACUGAACAGUGUAUGUCCGGUGGCGCACCGGACAGUCCCAUCGACAGCAGCCUCCCCAACGGCUACCUUGGUGGUUGAGGGCUAUAAAUACCCCCAACCACCACAACUUCAAGGAUCCAAGUUUUCUGAAUAUCACAUUCAAUACAAGAGCUCUAGCAUUCACUCCAAGACACAAUACAAAAGAUCAAAUCCUCUUCGAGUCCCAAAUCCACUCCAAACACUUAAUGGCUUGUGAGAGAGAGAUUUUUAUGUUCAUUCGAGUUCUUGUCGCUUGGAUUGCCUUUCUUCUUUUCAUUCUCUUACUCUCAAGUGCUUUGUAAGUGAAGCAAGAGACACCAAGUGUGUGGUGGUCCUUGCGGGGUCUUAGUGACCCGUGAGAUCAAGGAAGAAGGCUCACUCGGUCUAAGUGACCGUUUGAGAGAGGGAAAGGGUUGAAAUAGACCCGGUCUUUGUGACCUCCUCAACGGAGACUAGGUUCUUUGGAAUUGAACCUCGGUAAAAUAAAUCACUGUGUUCAUUCGCUUGAUUCUCAUUUGAUUUGUUUUCCCCCUCUCUCCCGGACUUGAUUUUAGUUCUAACACUAACCUCGGCUUAUAGUGUGUGUUUAAAGUUGUAAAUUUCACAUUACGCCUACUCACCCCCCUCUAGGCGACUUUCACCUUCCUCUGAUUAAACUUGAAAAUCAAGAACACAGUCGAAGUAUAAAAUCUCUGCGGAACCCUCAGCUCAAUUGGUGUCUACCUAGAGAGAAAACUAGGAGCUCUAGAAUGAGUGCUCAAAACAAAUGGCAGCCAAGAGAUGCUGAACUAACCAGCCCUCCCCUCUAUUUAUAGAGGGUUAUUCUCACUUCCUAAACUACCCCUAUUUACAUAGAGCCUAUCCACUGCACCGAAGGCGAAAUGGAUCAACUCCUAGGUUUUCGAUCUGACGGCCACGUCCUUCACACGGAGUUGCUUCGCCUUGAUGCACCCUCGGCGAUCACGCCGCGUGCCGCCACCGCUUCCCUCCGGAACCGCCACCGCCGAGUUUUGAGGCCCAAACUCAGCAAAACCCGCCAUCCGUAGCGCUGGGUGGUUUUGAGGCCCAAACCAUCAAACCUGCCAUGAGUACCGCACCUCGUGCACGUCCUCCACGAUCAGACAUGUGUCCUGCCAGUCCUCGACCACGCCGGCAACACUGUCCACUCCACCACGUCCUCGCACAAGUGUGUGUCCGACGUGUCAGCCACCGCAGUUGGUCACCUGGCUGCUCUGAUCCGUCAGUCAAGACCCAGCACUCGCCCUUCACCGCAUUGGUCCAUGAGCACGAGCCCGCAUGACCUUCACCUCAGCCGUCGACCAUCGUUCCUAUGCUCCACACCUACACACCACAAGUCGACCGAUAUGGUUAUACAAGCAUAAUCUCACACUCUGGUUAGUCCACUGACUACCCCAGAGUGCUACCCGUUGACAAUCACUCAUCAUCAACCCGAACCACAAGAGACAAGUCAACUUUGUGUUUGCACUAGAAGACGAAAUUCAGGUUUGCGAUAUUUAUUAGCCUUUCACGAUGACGGAAGCCACUACCAGCCGAUAUACAUCUAUGACCACAAGUACAAAUGUUUUGUGUACUAGUGAGUAUACUAUGAACUUAUUUGGUUUAGCUUUUUUUAGGAGCUUUUCUGAGAAUCUGGCUGUGGAAAGAAUUUGAGUAUCGUGGAGAUUACAUACAUACGGAGGAAGAUAAAAGAGUUUAUAGAGUUUAGGAUUUAGAAAGUGCAUUGUUUCCUACUAUCGAAACGACUCGACUGAUUCUAUUUUCAUGUUAAUUUUGGAUAGUUUGAACUAAAAUGAUUCUCAUAGAAGCAGACUCAAAAGCUACGCGUUUGGCAAUCUGCAGCAGCUUCUGGUGGUCAGAACCUGAAAAAAACUGAAACAAACAAGGUAUAUGCAUGUUUGAAUGCACUAGUACUAAUAUUUAAGUCAUAAAAUAAUCUAAAGACAUCCAAAAAGUUUAGGUAACGGUUUAACUACUUUUAGUCAACUGUUAACUACUAGCUCUAGUACAUUUAAACACUCAUAUAAUUAAAUGUAUACCAGAGAACUUAAUAUGAAACCAAGUACAUGAUCAGCUGGCGUAAUACAUCACGUCUUAAUAAAUAAUCCAUCCGAAAUAGAAUAACGCUUGUUCAGUUAAACAGUACAAGUCUUCAAAUUAUCAACGGAUCGAUGGAGACAUGAGAGCAAAUUACGUACAACCUUGGCACACCUAGCAAGCUUGGAACAUGACCGAUCAGAACUAGAGCUACAGAACAAUACUGCAAGUACCAAUUAAUCAUUCUUCAUGGUCGUCGGUCAAAUUAUUAGCGAUAGUUUGACUUGGUUUAAUGCUUUCCACGAUGUGAUAAGCUGAUAAGAGCAUAGCAGCCUAUAAGACAUUUUGUUUUUUUAUACACUAUUAACUAAAAUGUUUUAUACGUAGUAAUUUAAAACGGAGGGAGUACUAACUAGUAGCCAAAAGAAAAGAAAAAACUCGCCAUUAUUUCUAUAGGAAGUCCACAUCAAUCCAGCGAUAGCAGCUGCGACCGUUGACACUUGCAUAACAAGAAAGACGUACAUGCCUGCAUUAAUAUAAUUGUUAGGGUUAGUUUCGGAAUCCCAUUUUCCUAGUGGAACGUUUGGAUCCUUUUAUUUCAGAGGAAUUGAAAAUCAAUUAAUAAAGUAACCUAUUUAGCUUAGAAUUUAUCAUUUCACUAAUUUCUAAAGUUUUGAUAUAAGUUUAUCUCAAAUUCAUUAGGCGAAGGAUGGAAAUGAUUUUAUGUAUUCCUAAAAUUUGUUUAUACUCUCUAACUUACAAGACGAUCUUAGACCAACUCCAGCAGUCUCCGCAUGCGGCUCCGUAUCUCGUUUUUUGCACAGCGUAGCAUACUAUUCAUCAGUCCAGCAGACUCCGUAUCCGUCUCCAUAAAAAGCACGCCGUGUACCUGCACUCCCCUUUUCCACGUUUUCUCUCUCCUCUCCGCACAAGACUGCAUGCGCUCGCGGGUGCUCGCGGGACCCAGCUGUCACAGUCUGCAUGCGGAGUGCAAAUACGUAGUCUGCUGGAAACGGGGACGGAUGCACGGUCUCGUUGUAUACUAUUGGCCGUGCUGAAUACGGAUAGGGAUAGGGAGAGGGAGUCGGCUGGAGUUGGUCUUAGACUUACUGCUCUAUAGUAAAAAUGCAGCACACAAAUAUCUCCGACAUCUUGUUAAUAUAGUAUACUGAUAUAUUUUACAUAAAAUCGAAUUAGUUUAAUUUAUAUAUGUCUAAAUUACUAUUAUUAGAGUGGAAUUCAAUUCCAAUGAUUCAAACGGGCGUAAGUGAUUUUAUUUUUUGAAGGAAAAGUUGAUUUUUCCUUGGAGGAAAAAUAGAAAUUUCAUAGGAAAAUAGAGUUUCUAAACUAGACUUUAAUCUUCUGAUUUUGUUAUUGAUGUUUCCAAAAAAUUCGGAUGUUCUCUAGUUGUGUCGUAGACUUCUAAUCGUCAUUCAUUGAAUUAUAGGUGCCACGCGAGUACCAAAUCAAGUGUUGAGAGAAACAAAAGGUUUUUCUUAUACGAGAAAGGUGUUGCCUCGCUCGUAGCUUUCCAUCCAUCUAUAUAGUACGUAAGAACUAAAUUGAAUUUCAUUUUAAUAAUCAUAAUUUAAACAUAUUUAUAUAUAAUAUUUAUAUAUUAUUUUAAUUAUAUGAGAGAUACUUAUACACUACACUUAAACUAUAGAGAAGUAAGUAAAAAAUUAUGCUAUAAUUUGCACAUUAAAAAAGUAGCAUGUAAAUAUAUGGAAUUAAUUUUAAUCUCUCACACCAUGAAUUUGAGACAGGUUUAUAUAUAAUUUUAAGAAAGUUGAGGAAAGUCACAUUCUAAAAGAAUAUAGUCUAAUAUAUUAGUUAGAUUCUAAAUCCUCAAAAUGAAGGAAAACAGACUAGGCCUAAAUGUAUUGCUUUUCUUUUAAGUUAAUAUAUUAAGAGCAAUUUCAAGGAUGUUAAAAAAUUUCCACCGAAAAAUGAUUAUCGAGAGAAGCUAAAAAAUUAUAGGGGUAAAUUACUGUGCAUACUCCAACGGUCCCCUUAAAUAAAACUGGACCCAGAUUUAAAAACACGCCCUCGAGAAAGCCAACUUUGCACUUGCCUAUAGGCCUUUGUAUCUGUACAUGGACAGUAAAAAGCACCAGCUAUAUUUAACAUCAUUUGAACCAGGAACCAUUGAUGUCCGCCGUUGUCGUUUGGCUCACUAUCAUCAUUUGCGCACAUCCGAGCGCGGCAGGUUAAAUCGCACACCGAUGCGCGCCGGAAAACAAAAAAAAAAAAAACACAGGAGCUGGACAUGCGCGUGGACGGAUCGAGGAGAGAUGGAGCACACAUGAAAACAUGAGGCAGAGGAGGCUACGGAUGGAAGACAUGAAAUUUUUUAGGGUGAGAAUGGAGACUUGGAGAGUGUUGGAACAAGAAAAACAUUAUUGUUUACUUAUCUGUUUUAGGCUUGGUUUACAUGUCUUUUGAAGUUGUUUGUGUUAACAAUAAGGCUGGAAACGAGUUAAGCCGAGCGCUCGGCUCGAUGUGGAUCGCUAGGUGACCGAACUUGGCUCGGCUCCUCAACGAGCAGUAAAAGGGGCUCGACUCGGCUCGAUAUCGACACGCGAGCUACACCUUAAAAAAUAAUAAUGCAUUAUAUAGUGAAUUAAUAGUUUAUAAAUAUGAAAUAAGUGAUCAUAAUACGACAUUACAAGUAAUUUAAAUUAUAAUUGUCAUAUAUCCAUCAUUAAAGACUAAAAAAUAAGUCAGAUAUCUAAAAAAUUAUCUAAUAUCUAUCAUAAUUUAAAUUAUAAUUGUCAUAUAUUCAUCAUUAAAGACUAAGAUUAAUUUUGUGCAAGUACUGUUUGCUUCUUCAACCUUAUAAAUCUAUAGACCUUUCAUUUAUCUUCCUCUCAUGUUUUGUCGUCCUUGACGGACGAAGCUUAACUUGAAAUUUUUAAACACAAAGGAUUAAAAAAACCACAAAUUGAAACACCGAAAAAGCACAAAUCUAAGCUGGCAUAUAAAUUUUUUGUGCCCUUCAAACUGCAAUUAGCAAGAAUUUCUCGUGGGCUAGAUAUUUUCAAGCAAUUUAUGUGUUUAAUUUGGUCUGGGUUCAUGGUGUAAAUCAUCACAAAGAACUGAUCUUAACAGGUUCCCUUGAUCCAAGGCAUCUUACGGUUCUAACCUAACGCAUUAUUGGUAGUAGAAUACAAUAGGAAUAUGUGCCUUUCUUAUAGCACUAGCUAUUAGAACCAAAUAAAUAAUUUUCGCAUAAAGUUGGUCUGUAAGAGGUUCAUGAUAAGAUAAGUUGAUAAGAACGUAACAAAUGGCCAAGCACACAAUGAUAUGUCCCCUUGGAAUAAAGUACAAGUAGUGUGAAAGAGAGAUGCAAAUAAUGUUUUUUAUAUUUCUUGAGCAUAUAAUAAACAAAGAUGUGCAUCGGUCUUGCAACUUGUAGCAUGUGAAGCCUACACAUACAGAACAAAAAUGAACAAGAUAAAUUUGAUUAUUUGCUUUGAAUAAAGAAUAGUGGAGUUCUUGAUUUUCUUUAACUUACUGGAGACGAUAAUUGUAGCAAAGCUUGUACUCCCUCCGUACGUCCCAAAAUAAAAUUCGUUUUAGUUAAUUAAUAUAUUUAUACAAUAUUAAUGUAUGUGUUUUAUAUACGUGUUUAAGUUUAUCUUCAUCUAUUUGAAUAUAGACAUAAAAAAUUAAGAGCUAGAACGAAAGGAGUACUAUCUAGGGUUUAAAUUCAAAUUUAUGUCGCAACUUCCAACGCCAUUCACUACCGGAAUCCGAGGCUUUGCCGAGUGUCGGCCUCUUUGCCGAGUGCCUUUUGUCGGACACUUGGCAAAGAAGGCUUUGUCGAGAGCCGCACUCGGUAAAGUUAGGCUCUCGGCAACGAGCCUUUUUACCGAGUGCUGGACACUCGGCACAGGACACCACUCGGCAGAGACACGUUUGCCGAGUGCUAAACACUCGGCAAAGACGGCGCUCGUCAAAGGGCCGUCAGCGGCCGUACCAAAGCUGACGGCCGUCAGUCUUUGCCGAGAGCCGUGGGUUGGCACUCGGCAAAGAGUCUUCUUUGCCGAGUGCCAACUAGUGGGCACUCGGCAAAGGACUCUUUCCCGAGUGUCUUCUCUAGACAGUCGGCAAAGUAUAUUUUUAUUUUUUUGAUUUUGUCUCCCAAACUUUUUGUGGUAUGUUCCAACACUAUGUAGACCUACAUGUAUCAUUUGUGGACAAUUAUAACAGAGUUUUCAAUCGUUAGUAGAUUUAGUUCGUUUAUUUAAAUUUCUUCGGAAAAUUCAGAUUUGAACUGUAGGUCACUCAAAACUUAGAAAACCGUGCAUGAAAAAAUGAUAUUCAUGUUACUUACCAUAAGUUACGACCGAUUCCAGGAGCGUACCGGAAACUUCGAGCAACAUGCUCACUAAACAUGGUCGUGAACUUGCCAUCCACAUGUUUAAAAAUUGUAUAAAACACAAACAAAGUCAGAAAAUCAUGAAACUUGUCCACGUGUCAUGAUAUCAUAUGUAUAGGUUGUGAUAAAUAUUUUAGAAUGUUUGGAGAAAGUUGUGAGACACAAUAUGUAGAAACCUAAGAGAACUACAUUGAAACUCUAUGAUUUCAUGUGUAGUUCUCUUAGGUUUCUACACAUUGUGUCUCACAACUUUCUCCAAACAUUCUACAAUUUUUAUCACAGCAUGUACAUAUGAUAUCAUGACACGUGGACAAGUUUCAUGAUUUUCUGAAUUUGUUUGUGUUUUAUACAAUUUUUAAACAUGUGGAUGACAAGUUCACAACCAUGUUUAGUGAGCAUGUUGCUCGAAGUUUCCGGUACGCUCCUGGAAUCGGUCGUAACUUAUGGUAAGUAACAUGAAUAUCAUUUUUGCAUGCACGAUUUUCCAAGUUUUGAGUGACCUACAGUUCAAAUCUGAAUUUUCCGAAGAAAUUCAAAUAAACGAACUAAAUCUACUAACGAUUGAAAACUCUAUUAUAAUUGUCCACAAAUGAUACAUGUAGGUCUACAUAGUGUAGGAACAUAUCACAAAAAGUUUGGGAGACAAAAUUAAAAAAAUAAAAAUAUACUUUGCCGAGUGUAUAGAGAAGACACUCGGCAAAGUAUGCUUUGCCGAGUGCCACCCAGGUAGGCACUCGGCAAAGAAGUGUAAAUUAAUCUUUGCUGAGUGUCACCUGGCCGACACUCGGCAAAGGAGCCUUUGCCGAGUGUCGCCGAUCUGGCACUCGGCAAAGCUUAUUUUAAAAAUAAAAAAAAAUCUUUGCCGAGUGCUAGAUCGCGGGCACUCGGCAAAGAAGGAAAAUAUACUUCGUGCCCGGCUUCUUUCUUCUUCUUUCUCUCCUCUCACUCUCUCUGUCUCAGCGCAGUGCGCCGCCGCCGCCCUAAAUCGCCGCCGCCGACUUGCCGAGCUCGCCCGAGCCCGCCCGCGCCUGCCGCGCGCCGCCGGCUCGCCGUGCGACCGCGAGCGCCGCUCGCCGCGCCGCCCCACCGCCGUCCUGUCGUACGCCACCGUCUCCCCCGCCCGCCACCGUCUCAAGGUAUAAUUUUAUUAAAUUAUGUAUUAAUGUUUAUAUUAAUGUAUUGAUGUUUUAUAGAUUAAUGUAUUGAUGUUUCAUAUAUUAUGUAUUUCAUAAACACAUGUUUAUAUUAAUGUGUUGAUCACUCAGUAUAUGUCUCACAUCCAAUCCACCACCGCACGCUGCCACUCGCACCGACCCUCACACAACACACUCCCACAACACACUAUCCCAUCCUAUCCAUCACGCCGUCACCGACCCUCACCACGCCACUCGCACAACACACUCCCCAUCCUAUCCACCACCGCACCGACCCUCACCACGCCAACGUCUACAAUUCCUCGUCGUCGUGCCGUUGAAUUGAAUAUAUAUAUAUAUAUAUGUGUGUGUGUGUGUGUGAUUGCCGGCCAUCGUGUCGUUGAAUUAUUAGUGGAAGACAGCCAUCGUGCUGAUACUUUUAUUUGCAGGAUUUCGAUACCUCCCCGUGCAGGGGAGGUGCUGCCGAAAUUUUCUGUUGCUAGGCUUCUGUUAGAGGAUGGAGAACCGUGAGUGGAUGUACACGGGCCGUAUAGGAAGGAAUGAUGUCACCACUGAAUGGAUUAGAAAGACCGAUGAUUUCGUGGAACGGGCAUAUGGCGAAGCUGCUAAAGGAGCGAGUCUAGUCCCAUGCCCGUGCAGCAAAUGUGCCAACCGGAAAAGAAAACCAAGGAAGGCCAUGGUAGAACAUAUUUGGAAGAAUGGAUUUACACCGAGCUAUACUCGGUGGAUAUUUCAUGGUGAAGCGCAUCGUACGAGAGAGGAGGUGCUGAGACAACGUGUCGAGGAUUAUGACGCGGAUGCGGGGGUAGCAGAUAUGUUGAACGACUAUCAGGAGGCACAGUACACGGGAGGAUGUAUGGAUGACGAGCCAGAGCCGACUGCAAAGGCGUUCUACGACAUGUUCGACGCGGCACAGAAGCCCCUUCACGGCCAGACAAAGGUUUCUCAAAUGGAUGCCAUUGGGCGUGUAAUGGCGUUCAAGUCGCAGUACAACAUGAGUAGAGACGCAUUCGAUGGCUUGUUGACGGUUAUUGGGAGCCUGCUUCCAGAUGAUCACGUUCUGCCAAAGAGCAUGUACGAGGCACAGAAACUCCUUCGUGCACUCAAGAUGACGUAUGAGCAGAUUCAUGCUUGUCCGAAGGGCUGCGUGCUAUUUAGGAAAGAAUACGCGGAGGCAAAGUACUGUCCCAAGUGUACAUCGUCUAGGUUCAUGGAGGUAGACUUUGGUGAUGGACAGAAGAGGCAGCUCGACAUCCCCUUGACAAUCCUACGACACCUUCCAUUCAUACCGAGGAUCCAGCGUCUGUACAUGACAGAGGAAUCCGCGAAACAGAUGACAUGGCACAAAAAUGGAAAACGAUACAAUCCUGACAAGAUGGUGCACGCAUCUGAUGGUGAAGCAUGGAAACAUUUUGAUGUCAUUCACCGUGAGAAAGCCGAAGAGGCUCGAAAUGUACGUGUUGUGUUGGCCACAGAUGGGUUCAAUCCCUAUGGAAUGAGCGCUGCCCCGUACACAUGUUGGCCCGUGUUUGUUAUCCCAAUCAAUCUCCCCCCUGGUGUGUGCUUUCAAAGGCAGAAUAUAUUUGUGUAGUUGAUAAUUCCCGGACACCCGGGGAAUAAAAUGGGCGUGUACAUGGAGCCUUUGAUCGAUGAAUUGGUACGUGCCUGGGAGGAAGGGGUAUGGACGUAUGACCGAGCUACAAAGACAAACUUCAGAAUGCAUGUUUGGUACCAGUAUUCCAUGAAUGACUUACCGGCCUAUGGGCUAUUCUGUGCCUGGUGUGUUCAUAGUAAGUUCCCAUGCCCAGUUUGCAAGGAAGCUCUCAGGUUCAUUUGGUUGAAAAAGGGUGGCAAAUAUUCGUCCUUCGAUAAACAUCGGCAAUUUCUUCCUGCUGACCAUCCAUUCUGCCUAGACAUCAAGAACUUUACGAAAGGUGUCAUAGUGACAGACCGCCCACCUGCAACGAUGACUGGUGCCGAAAUUCGUCAAUAGAUAGAUGGGCUUGUGGCUAAUACAGAAGGUGGUUUUGUGGGAUAUAGUGAGCAGCAUAUGUGGACACAUAAGUCUGGCUUGACUCGGCUCCCCUAUUAUGACGACCUGCUCCUUCCACACAACAUUGACGUAAUGCACACUGAAAAGAAUGUUGUCGAGGCACUGUGGGCAACAAUUAUGGACAUUUCUGAUAAGUCAAAGGAUAAUGUGAAGGCAAGAGUGGAUCUGGCAGCGUUAUGUGAUAGACCAAAACUAUAAAUGAAGUCGCCAAGUGGCGGAAAGACGUGGAGAAGGCCUAAGGCCGAUUUCGUCCUAAGCAGGGCCCAGAGGAAGGAAGUACUUCAGUGGAUCAAGAUGAUGUUCCCUGAUGGGUAUGCAGCUAACCUGAGUAGGGGGGUGAACAUAUCUACUAUGCGAGUCUUAGGGAUGAAGAGUCAUGACUUCCACAUAUGGAUUGAACGGAUUCUUCCUGCGAUGGUUCGAGGCUAUGUACCUGAGCAUGUCUGGCUAGCGCUUUCAGAGUUGAGCUAUUUCUUCCGUCAACUUUGUGCAAAAGAGUUAUCUCGGACCGUGGUUGCAGACUUGGAAAGAUUGGCACCCGUGUUACUGUGUAAGCUUGAGAAGAUAUUUCCACCCGGCUUCUUCAAUCCAAUGCAGCAUUUGAUUCUUCAUCUCCCCUAUGAGGCAUGAAUGGGGGGCCUGUGCAGGGACGUUGGUGCUAUCCAAUCGAGAGAUGUCUAAAGACUAUUCGAAAGAAAUGUAGAAAUAAAUGCAAAAUCGAGGCUUCCAUUGCAGAGACAUACAUUCUAGAGGAGGUCUCAAACUUCACAACAACUUAUUAUGGUGACAAACUGCCGAGCGUGCAUAAUCCACCCCCUCGUUACAAUGAUGGCGACAAUGAAUCGAACCUUAGCAUAUUUCGAGGCCAACUCGGAAGCGCAAGUGGCUCGACCACCAAGACCCUGACACAUGAAGAGUGGCGGCAUAUCAUGUUAUAUGUAUUGACCAACCUUGAAGAGGUGACGCCAUACAUGGAACAAUUUCUUCAUGAAUUCUGGCAUCGAUCAAGGGACCCCACUCCACAGGAAUAUGACGCUCUUCUUAGAAAGGGUGCGAGAAAUGGGUUGCCCGAUUUCAUUUCCUGGUUCAAACGUAAGGUACGUGCUUAGUUUGUAAAAGAGAUACGUCUUUGAACUCAAUUUAGCGUCUUUUAACUUGCGAAUACUUGCAGGGCCAAAGAGAUCCGUCUAUGAGUGCCAAGUUGAGACAAGUAGCCAACGGCUUUGCUUAUAGGGUCAAGAAAUAUUCUGGGUAUGACGUCAAUAGAUACCGUUUUCGCACAACACACUAUGACAAAAGUCGGCCCAAUCGGAAAGCAACGUGUUCUGGAGUCUUUACGCUCGGCCUUGACAAUGUCGAUUAUUUUGGACGAAUCGAAGAAAUAUAUGAGCUCAAUUUUUAUGGUUCCAAACCUCUUACUCCAGUGAUAUUCAAAUGUCAUUGGUUUGACCCUCAAGUGACGAGACAGACACAUUCUAAUCUUGGGAUAGUCGAAAUUCGACAAGAUUCCACCUUAGCAGGAGACGAUGUCUAUAUCGUGGCCCAACAGGCCACACAAGUGUAUUAUCUCCCAUAUGCGUGUCAAACGAAAGAACAUCUUAAGGGUUGGGAUGUUGUGUAUAAGGUAUCGCCGCACGGGAGGUUACCUGUUCCUAACGAUGAAGAUUACAACUUAGACCCGGACACAUAUGAUGGAGAGUUCUUCCAAGAACAUGGGCUAGAAGGGCGAUUUGAGAUAGACUUAACUGAAGCUAUCGGAAUGGACGUAGAUAUUGAAAUGGUUGUUGAUGAGGAGGAUGAUGAGGUGCAAAAUGAUAAUGACUUAGUAAUCCUUGAAGGCAAUGACAUUAAUGACGAGGUUGCGUCUUCCGAUGGUGUUGAGAUUGAAAUGCUUGAUAGUGAUGAUGAGAGUUAUGAUCCUGCUAACCCCGACACAUAUGAAGAUUAUUUUUAAUCGAUGUAAUGCUAUAUGACUUUUUAUUUCGCACCUAUUUUUAAAUACAUCUUUUUAUAUGUGCUUAUUUGUUUACUAUUAAUUGCAGGUUGUUGGACAAAUAUGGUGGGCGGUUGGCUGAGUAGGAGGAGGGGGAGGAGGCGUAGGACGACGGACGAGGCAGAGCAGGCAGCGCAGCAGGACGAGGCAGAGCAGGCAGCACAGUAGCAGGCCGCGCCUCAGGACGACGACGACCAGCAGCAGGACGACGACGACCAGCAGCAGGACGCCUCAGGUUCAGGCGACUCUAGUUCGAGGAGCAUCUACCUGUGAGGCCCCGCGAGUCUCCCUCAGCGUCCCAUACUUCGGGACAGGCGGCCGCUGAUUCGACCGGAAGUGGAGAGGUAUGUAACUUUAUGUUCUUCAUUCUUGUUCAUAUUAUGUGUUCAAAAUCAUAAUAUAAACUAAUACUUUUUAUUUAUCACUUGGACAGGUCUUGGACGGUUUUGGAUUAUGCUGGGGGUCAUCGUCGCCCCCCCCAAUGGCAUCCUCGGCCUAUUGUGCAGGGAACACUUCCGUGGACUUGUGGAGUACGCCGGAGUGACGGGCCCAGCCUUCACCUUCGACCACUACGCUGUCGCCCCCGAUGCAGUAGACCGGGACGGCAGGGAAUUCAAUAACAAGGCGAAGCGAGUGAAGCAAGAGUUGUGGGUAAGUCUUAGUAUAAUAUAAAAUAUGUCGCAUUCGUUGCAAAUUCUUGAAAUAAUGUAUGGAUACAUCGUUUUUGUAUGCAGGAAUUCUUCAGAUGUGAUGCUGGAUAUGAGGCUAGGGCGGAUGUGGUGGCCACCAUGAGCUGUAAGAAGCUCGUUGUGGACAUGCACUAUGAGGCUCGAAUCUAGGCCAUCAUCACCUACCACGGCUCCGUCCUUGGGGAGAGGGUGACCAAACCUCAAGCCCGAACCAUGUCAUUGACCAGGGAGCAGUACCUGCAGGUAAAGUCAUGCAUGUUUGGUACCAGUACUCCAUGCAUGAAUUUUAUUUUAUCUUCUGAUAUGCACUUUACGUGUUUACUUUGUAGAUGAUUCCAUAUUGGUGCGCCGCACAUCCUCUGUGCUGGGAGCAGAUGGUGGAUAGGUGGUGUUCGGCUGAGUGGGACGAGGCGCACACCGCUAGCCGGGAACGGCGUUUGAUGAUGCAAGGCCCCUCCCACCACCAAGGCAGCCGAAGCCUGGGCCAAUAUGCCGAAGCAUGGGUACGCCAUCUUUUUUAUUUAGAUAUAUAGCACUGAGUUAGAUAUUAUUUCUAACUAUCUCGUUGGUUUUCGUUGCAGUCGGCGUCACACGGUGGUCGGCCUUGCUCCACCUUCUCGGUCUAUGCUAUGGCCCAUAAGGGUAAGGCGACGUCCGAUGUCACCUACAACCCGGAUGACGGGCCCGAGGCCUACACCAACCCCGCCGUCUACAGCCGCCUCCAUGACUACACCGCCAUGGCGCAGGAGGUCCAUGGACGAGACUAUGAUCCGAGCACCGAGCCGAUCAACCCCGAUGUGCUCAUGAGGGUCGGAGGAGGCAAGAGACAUGGGCGGUACUGGAUUGCCGACGGGGCAAUCGACUCGUCCUCCACUCCCACUCUAUCUUAGGUGAGAGCAAGGAGCACAGGCUCGAGUCCAGCCAUACGACCUCGGCACGACAGCUCACAGCAUCGCAUACAGCAACUCGAGGUUAGUGCUUCUGUAACUCAUCCUUCCUUGAGUUAUAUACCUACUCUUUGAGUUACUAUAACGUUGGCUUGUAAUAUUAUAGACCCAACUAGAAGAAGAGAGGAGUGAACGUCACGAGAUGGAGGCGAGGAUGAUGGCGGAGCGGGAGGCGGAGCGCCGGGCAGAUCAUCAGAGGAUGGCGGAGAUGUUCCAGUACAUGCAGAGCCUUGGCGCCGCACAGGGCAUCGCUCUGCCACCUCCAUUGUUCCCUCCAGUUGACCCUGCUCUCUUCCACACUCCUGUGAGUAUCAAAAUUGUAGUUAGAUGUUUGUAAUGCAUCUGGUAUAACACAUGCAAUCUCUUCUCUGUGCAGCGCCAAUCUGGGGCGGCAUCCAACAACCCUCCGGAAGGGUUCAGCCCAACGCAACCCCGGUCAAGCCGUCCACCUCCAUGAGUGUUGUGUUUUCAUUGUUUUAGACUUCAGUACUUGUGUAUAAUACUUAUGUCUGUGUUUGAUACUUAUGUGAGAGCUUGCGACGUUUGAGACUUAUGUUUGUGUUUGAUACUUGUGUUGAACACUUAUGUUUGUGAUGGAUAUUUAUGUUUGUGGUGACGGUUUUAUGUUUGUGUUGGCUAUUUAUGUUUGUGAUGAUAUCUGUGAUGUAUAUAUGUGAUAUAUAUAUGUGAUAUCUUCUGUGUUGUGUGGAUGGAAUACAAAAAACAAA
This 62221-nucleotide long non-coding RNA is filed under the name Zea mays. RNAcentral describes it as "long non-coding RNA (ZMAY_LNC004373)". The record is from RNAcentral. Lineage: Eukaryota; Viridiplantae; Streptophyta; Magnoliopsida; Poales; Poaceae.